GGAAGGUGAAGUAUCAAAAUCAACUCACGAAAAAGAAGGUAUUCUUCUGCUUUUCAUUCUUUAAUAAAAUUGGUUUUCGUUGGAGGUUGGGUUCAAUGAUCAGGGAGAUCAACACGAACCUUCAAAGGAUCCGUCGGGAUGCAGAAGGUUUGGGACUGGCCUACAAGCACCAAGUUGAAGAAGCAUUCCCUACUAUUGCUGCUGGAGCCACAACAAGCCGACAGACCGACUCUACUAUUGUUCGAAGAGAUGUUCUAGGAAGAGACGAGGAUGAAUCAGAAAUAGUUAAGAAGUUGUUGACCGAAUCUGAAAGUGUUAUUUCAGUUAUUCCCAUAACUGGCAUGGGUGGUUUAGGAAAAACAACUCUAGCAAAAGCCGUUUACAAAAAUGAACAAAUUGUUGGACAAUUUGACAAAAAAAUGUGGGUUUGUGUGGCUGAAGAAGUAGAUAAAAUCGAGAAGGUCUUCAAAAUGAUUCUUGAAUCGUUAACAGGAGGAAAGGUUGAAGGGGAUCGUAGGGAGGUAAUAGUUCAAAAAAUUCAGCAUGAACUCAAGGAAAAAAGAUAUUUCCUUGUUCUUGAUGAUUUGUGGAAUGAUCAAGAAGUAUUGUUGAAUGACUUUUUCAGCACUUUGGCGGGACUCAAUGCGAAGAAAGGGAGCUGGUGUCUUGUUACCACUCGUCUGCAAGAAGUGGCAACUAUUCUGUCUAGACAUCCGCAGAUCAAUUUUACUCGCCAUGAGCUGGGAAAGCUAUGCGAUAAUGAUUGCUGGUCUAUCAUGAAAAAAUGGGCAAAUGUAGGGGAAGAAUUACCAAAAGAAUUGGAAGACAUGAGGGAGCAAGUUUUAAGAAGAUGUGACGGUCUACCUCUGGCAGCAACGUUAAUUGGAGGUUUGUUAUCUAAAAAGAGAAAAGAGGAUUGGCUAUCUAUUUUGGAGGAGAGUCUCUUGAAUGGCAAUCAAGGUGGGAUCAAGCAAAUACUUAAGGUGAGUUUUGAUCAUCUGUCACCUGCACCGGUUAAGAAAUGCUUUGCAUAUUGCUCAAUUUUUGAUCAAGAUACUGAAUUGGAACAAGAUCGACUAGUUGAGCUUUGGAUGGCUGAAGGCUUUCUUCAACCGGAUCCCCAAAAUGAAAGAAUGAUGGAGAAAAUAGGAUGUGAGUAUUUGAGAAUUUUGCUGCAAACUUCCUUAUUGGAAGAAGUAAAAGAGGAGAGGAGAACAUGGUAUAAAAUGCAUGACCUUGUGCAUGAGUUUGCAAAAUCAAUUUUGAAUCGUAGCAGCAGCAAUGAGGACCGCUACCUUUCAUUAUACUCAUCCGAAAGAAUGUUAGAAAACAUGAACGAAAAAAAAUCAGCAUCACUUCGCACAUUAUUUCUGAAGGGUGGCAUAGCUGAUGAAAUAUUAUCAAAGUUCAAACACUUGCAUGUCCUAAAAUUGUCUGGAGAAGAUGUCAAAGAGUUGCCGACCUCCAUUGGCAAACUAAUCCACUUACACUUACUUGACAUUUCAGAUUCGAUGAUUACAACUUUGCCAGAAUCUCUUUGCGAACUUUAUAGUUUGCAAACACUAAGAAUUUACGCGCUUGAAAAAGGUUUUCCAAAGAAGAUGAGCAAUUUGAUUAGCAUGAGACAUCUUCACUAUUUUCAUUAUCGUUAUGAUAAAGGAUGCAAAAUCCAGAUGCCAUCCAGUAUUGGACGAUUGACUUGUCUUCAAACAUUAGAGUUCUUUAACAUAGGUCGUCAGGAGGAAGGUCGUGGUAUCCAAGAACUUGGGACCUUGCAAGAUCUUAAAGGCACCUUGGAGAUCAGAAAUCUUGAAUCAGUAAAUGGCAAAGAUGAUGCAGAACUAGCGAACCUAUCUAAAAAGCCACAUAUGUAUCGGUUGGUAUUUGAGUGGGGCAAUAGGGAUCGAGAAAGUGAUAAUUGUGAUGAAGAUGUGUUGGAAGGCCUCCAACCUCACCCAAAUUUAAAAGAGUUACAAAUUUUGAAGUUCAUGGGUGAUCAGUUCCCACAAUGGUUCAUGAAUUUGACAUCACUGGUGGAGUUGCGUGUGGCGAAUUGCACAAGAUGCAGAGAACUCCCCACCCUAGGACAGCUGUCAUCCCUCCAACAUCUAUAUCUGACUGGAUUGGAAAACAUAAGAAGCAUUGGGCUUUCAUUCUACAGUACAAGUGCUGAGGAGGACGGCGGAUCAGGAGGUUCAGGCACUGUUAGCAGACAAACAUUCUUUCCAGCCCUUAAAAUUCUCUCUCUUGAAAGCAUGGAAAAUUUGGAAGAGUGGAAGGACGCACACGAAAUAAGGUCAACCGCAGGUGAAGUACAUGUGAUGGAUGUGUUUCCCAUGCUUGAAGAGUUGUAUAUUAGCCAUUGCCCCAAGCUGACCACCAUUCCAACUCCAAGUCGUUUCCCAAGUCUUGAUGUAUUGAAAAUAAAAAAGAAUUGCCAUGUUUUGCUGGCAGAAAAGGUUUUGAGCAAUAUGGCCAAUCUCUCAUCCCUUGAAUUAUGGGAUCUUGGUGGUCAACGCAUCGAGUCUCUAAAAUUAGUGAAACGACCAGAGAGCAGCUUGAGUAUUGAAGGCUGUAACAGUCUACCCACUGACAUGCUUGAGCGACUCUGUCUUUUUCCAACUCUUCAGCGUGUAGAAUUGAGGCUUGCCGCUAAUAUAACAACAUUAAGAGGAAUGAGUUGCGCCGCUUGUCUUAAGAGAUUGGUAGUCUUUUGCUGUGACAAUUUACGGGAGUUGCCAGAAGAUCUUUAUCAAUUUCAAGCUUUAGAGUACUUGCUGAUACAAGGGUGCCCGAGAAUUAAUUCAUUUGGAUAUCCAAAUCCUAAUUCAUUUGGACAGAAAGGCCUCCUUAAGUCUCUUGAGGAAUUUACUAUCGAAGGGUGCGAUGCAUUAACAAGAUUACCAGCGGAGAUGUUCGAGUCGUGUACGUCUCUCCGAGAGCUGAAUUUGUUCGGUUGCCCCAGUCUGGUCUCCUUUCCCCUUGAUUUGCGACGAACCCCUUCUCUCGAGAGCUUCAUUUUAGGGGGGUGUCCCAACUUGAUUGCUGAGAUGCCAAGUGGAUUUGGCUAUCUUACCAGCUUAAGGCGUGUGUCGAUUGGUCCCUUCUCAGAUGACUCUGCAAUCAAAUUUGAUUGGGCUGGAUUAGCAUCUUCAUCAUCACUCCGACACGUGUCUUUAUGUGGAAUGCCUGACAUGAAAUCUCUGCCACACCAGCUUCAAUGCUUGACUACCAUCACAUCACCCUCCGUGGAUGCCAUGGAACGCCUCACAUUCAGACGUCUGCGAAUUCGUGAUUGUCCUCUAUUAACCGACAGAUGCACUCCUCAAAGCGGCUCCGAGUGCCCCAAGAUCUCUAAUAUUCCAGAGCGUAGAAUUGUCCGUAAGCAAAAUUCACCAAUAUUGGGUAUGUUCUUAUUUUUUUUGUCACUGAUAUUUCCAAACAACAUUAAAACCAAUGAAAUAGCAAUUUGGGGAGAAUUUUUGUUACAAUUUUUGUUUUUACCGCUGGCAUUUAAUGGAUGGAUAUGUUCUUAAUCUUCACUAUUAUCUCUCUGUAAGACUCUGCAUUAUGAUUGCCAUAAAAUUAGCUCAAUGUCGAUCAAGUUGAAAUUGUUUGCAGAGGAACUAGGCCGCUGCUAAAACUAUAAAUUCUGAUCAUCUUUUAAAAUUUCUAAAAUUCAGAUACUAUAACUAGCUACUUUUCUGUUUUAUGAAUUGGAUUGAUAAUAUUAUGGCGUUGUAGGCCACAAGUGUCAGUGAAGCAGCAAGCAGUGAUAAUAUUAUGUGCUCAAGGCAAAGUCAGCCUGGAACCUCUAAAGCAUCUUAUUGCACUUUUCACAUUCUCCAACUGCAACAUUAGGCUGUGGUUUCCAAUCAUUUUUGAAGAAAGAUGAGGAGGUAUUUGCACUAGUAAGUGUUCUUUAUGGAUUAAUCAAUGGAAUAUAAAUUGAUUUUUGCUCUUUAGGAUUUUGAGUGAUAAAUUGUUGCACGAGUUACCAGACCAAACCUUUCUGUGGCUCAUGUUUCUACACAAUGUCAUAACUGAAACAGAACUGUGAUGUAAUAUUGUUAUUUUUUUUUCCAGAAUUUGUUCAGGAAGCAGAGAUUAUGCUCUUUGGACAAAGAACACCAGUCAGGUUUUGGUUCCCGUGUUGUUCUUAUGAGAAUGUCAAGAGGGAGGAGUUAUUUUCAGUUAUCAAUCAGGUUUUGAAGAUGGAAGGUAGUUAUCUGUGAUUUUUCCCACCAGAAUGCCAUAUAUUGCUCAGAAUGUGGAAAUGAAGGUAAAAAAAAUGUUGACUGCAUGUCUAUUGGCCUGUUUCAAUGGCUUUUCUUUUUUUCUUUUAAUCUAUUUUAUGGAAGUAUUUAACAAAAUAAAUCAAAUAUUGAACCUUUUCUCCUUGUAGCAUGCUGAAAACAGAGUGGCUUGUGCCAGACUUGUAGAAAGUAGUAUGGAUGGAGAAGAAUUAGAGGGGAGCAUGGUAGCUGUACUGGAGAGCUAUCAAGGUACAAGACUUACUUGAAAAACACUGGGCGUGCUGAUACUUUAAUUCCAGAGGUGACAACAUUUGAUGGAAAGAAGUUAGACGUUGUAGACAGCAUUUCAGAAACCACUGGGAAUAUGUAACAUUUCAGAAGACUAAUGAAGGUGGGAGAUCAAUGAUAAAUGUUUCACAUGAAGUUCUCAAACAUGGUUUCACCCAAUUAGAGGUACUCUACCACAACAAAUCUGCUUGUCAGGUUAAAUGAGCAUGUUUCAGCAUGCCAAUUCAAUGGAAGUUGAUAAAUUACUCUUAAGAAUUGAAGGAAGAAGGAAACAACUUGCCAACACUGAAAAGAUAUUGACAUCCAUUACCUAUUUCUCUCUGAAAACGGUUAUCCUUUUUUGAUUUUUGUUUGGUCCAAAGAUUUUAGUUUGUCAGGAGAAAUUAGUCAGCUAAAAGAUGUUAAUAAAAGAAUUUAUGAAUGCUAGUACAUGAAUAUAAAUUUUGCAUUUUUUCUUCAGAUUAGUUUGCCAAACUCUAGUUUAGAACAUCAUUUUAGAAAGAGACGAAAGAUUAUCAUCUUACUCUUCCUUUAACGUUUAAUUAAACAUUUAGCUUUGAUAAUCACUUUAUUUUCAAAAAGAAUCACAAGGACAAUUUAUGCAAAUUCGAUUGACUUUUGCUACCAUUACUUCCUUCUGGGCUUGUUAAUGCUCUGUUUUUUAGCCUUUCAUUUUUGGUUAUCUAGUAGAUUGGUGAUUUUUCCAUCCUACUUGCGUAAGGACUUGCUUGCUCAUGAUAAAAUAUUUAUAGAAAUAUCUAUUUUAGCAUUUUAGACAAAUGUCUCACGGGCUAAGUUGGAACAUGUAGAAAGCAGUGAUUUUCAAGCAAAAAUGUAUGGAUGGUGAUGUGGUAGACAAUUGUUCUCUUAAGGAGUGAAGAUCAGUCUUCUAGAAAGCACUAUGUGACAGAGUAAAUGAAGAGGUAUGUAGUCUCAGAGCUCAUGAUACUAUGUUUCUGUUGCUGUUGCCAUAACUUCAAAUCAACCACAUACAAAAGCUAUGCUCUGAAUGUAGUAUGCGUUUUUGAUGGCUUAAUUGAUGUACUUCUGCUUAAUUUUUGGUCUUUAAAAAUUUUUGUAAUACAUUCUUCAUAAGUUUUGAUGGUUCAACGUGGCUAAUUUUACACUUAAUAUUACUGUAAUGUAACAUGGUGAUGUUUUUUCCCUGAAUCUAUUUAGGAAGCAGAUAUCAUCUUGUUGGAAAAGGAACAGCAUUGUUCCCUGUCGUUUUUGUGAGAAUGUCAAAAGGAAGAAAUUACUGUCACUGUGCAGGCAAUAAACAGGUGCUUUUCAAGUAGGUUUUUUUUUUUGGUGCUUUAGCUAAAAAAGAUAAGUAGACCUAAGAAUUUUUACCAAGAAACUCUUUUAAAAUAUCUGACAUUUGUGAAGACCGAUGAAGAUGGUAAAUCAAUAGUAAAUGUUACUCAAGGAAGUUUUUCAGGGUGCUUCAUUCCACUUGAUAGAGAUACUGUGCCACAAGUCUAUUCUGCUAAGGUUAGAUGAGCAUUUUUUCAGCGUAGCCAUUGAAAUGAAGUUGGCAAUCAACUCUAACAAAUUCAAGGAAGAAGGAUACUACUUGCCGACAUUUAUAGAAUUGCGGCAUUCUUUUGCUGCUUCUUUCUGAAAAAGGUUAUCUUUUACUAGUCCAUUUUUGUCCUAAAUAUCUUAGUGUACUAGGAGAAAUCAGUCUGCUCAAAAGAAAGUCCUUCGAGGCUAAAUCCGUUGAUUAUUUGUUUUGAAUUAUAAUACAUGAAUACCAAUCAUGACUUUUUUCCUUGGGUUAUUAUGCCAAACUAGCUAAGAUUAGAACCUCACUUUGCAAGCAUAGGAAGGAUUAUCAUCUCACUGUUCUUCCGAGUUUUACAUUCUCAUGUUUUAUUAACAAUAUGCAAAUUUUUGAAUUCCAUUUUUGGUUCAUCUCGUAAUUAUUUAGAAUGAUCAUCUUUCCAUUACUAGUUGCUAACAGUGUUCUUUGUUCAUUGUCAACUCUUUAUCCAAUAUCUGUAUCAAUAUUGAAGACAAUCAGUGUCUAAUGGGUUUUGAUGGAACAUGUAGGAAGCAGCAGCUUUCGAGUUAAAGUGUAUGAAUGUUGUCUCGAUGAAUUACAGGUUUACUUUGUUUCUCUCAAAGUUGGCAUUUCUUUCACACACAUAUGGAAGUGCCCGACCUUUCAUAUAUUUUGGAGGUUUCUUCUGAUUUGAUUUGCUUGAGACAAAGGGAAGCAUAUGAAGGAGAUCUUGGUUCCAGUUUAAGCUGGCAUGGCUGAGACCUGUAGCCAAUUUGGUUGAUCUUGGUUCCAGUUUAAGCUGUCUGGAUUGCUCUUUGUCAAUCUCGUGAAUGUGGAUCUCAUAUCAAUGGAAGCAUUGAAAGUAUGAAGAUGAGAAAGCAAGAAUACUGGUAGCUAGCUGUUGGAUUGUAGGCAUGUAAAAAGUCUUAACUAUACUAAAAUUGUCACCCAGAUAGCUGGCUAGAAUGCAUAUAUUACUCUAGCUUGUUCUAUAAAGAGAUAUGAUUUGAGGUUUUAAUGUGAUCCAGAGCUUUAAGAUUUUGAAAUACCUAAUUGACCAUGCUUUGAGGAGUUUGAUUUAGGUUUAAACCAAUUGCAAGUUCAUAAAAAUAGAGCUAAACAAGUAUGAAUUUUAUGAUACUUACCUCAAAUGACUUCAAAAGCUUGCUGAAAAUUUCUCGCUUCUCAAUUUGUCAAACCAAGUUGUGACCGGUCCCUUUUCUGGCUGUCCAAGGCAUUUGGUUUUUCUUUAGGGAUAAUUUCAAAAACCUCCUCUGAGGUUUCUAAUAAUUUCACUAGCCUCUUCUAAAAUUUCCAAAUUACACAAACCUCUCUUGAGAUUAAGGUUUUAAUAACAAAAUUAGUCUACUUAAAAAAAGUGACAUUAAAAAAAUACUUUAAGGAGAGAGAUAAAACUUUGAUUCCAUAAAUAUUCCUUAUACAUGUAUAUAAGUUGUAUUAGUAAAAGAAUAAAAAUAAUUAAAAGUUAGAUACAAUUAGUAUACAUAUUUUCACAACUUAAAAAGUUCAUAUUUAAUGAAUUCGGCAACAUAAAUAAGCAACAAAAUUACACUAAUGAUCACGAGAUUUAACAAAACAACUAGUCAUCUCUUUUAGUAUGAUAUUUGCGAUGAUUUGUGAUUUUGAGUAGAAAAAUUUUCAAAUUUUACCUUUCUUUUCCCUCCCUAUGUUUGAUAUGGAGGGAAAUAGAAUGGAAGGAAAAGAAAGGCAAAAUUUGAAUUUUUUUUUUGUUCAAAAUCACAAAAAUCAUAGCAAACAUCAUGCCAAAAGAGAUGAAUAAUCUAUUUUAUCAUAUCUUUUGAUCAUUCUAUAGUUUUGUUACUUAUUUGUUUGUCUAAUUUAUUAAAUGCGAGUUUUUUGAGUGAUAAAAUAUGUAUAUUAAUUGCUUUUAAUUUUUAAUUAUUUUAGUUCUUCUACUAAUAUAAUUUAUAUACAUGCAUAAGGGGUAUUUAUGAAAUAAAAGUUUAAUCUCUCCUUAAAGUACUUUUUAAUGUUACUUUUUUUAAUUGGACUAAUUUUGUUACCAAAACCUUAACCUCAAAGGAGGUUUGUAUAAUUUUGCAAACUUCAAGGGAGGAUAGUGAAAUUGUUAGAAAUCUCAGGGGGGGUUUCUGAAAUUAUCCCUAAUGUAAAAGGUUCACAGGUUUAUGCAUUCACCACUAUUUAGAUCUAUUUGUUAAGAACUAUUUCUACCCUUCAAACCAAUACAACACAUUAAGCCUGCUCAUGAAUCUAAUCCAGACAAAGUAUACAUGUCCUACUUUCAUGUUCUGGAGAGGGAAGAACCAGACUGUUGAUAGGGCUCUUCAUCUUUCUCUGAUGUUGUGAGAUAUUGGCGGCCAACUUUGUAAAGAAAUCGUUCAUUAUACCAUCCCCAAAGUGAGCUUGAAAGAUGGGUUCAUAAAUAGCUCUCAAGCUCCUAGCCAUGUACUUGGCAUUGGUGUUUGUAUUGAAUACGUAGCCCUUCCGGCACCCUUCCCGCAAUGUGCCGCCUCCACACCAAUCACUCGCAGUUGAAUGUUAUCCAGAUACCUUAUCUUAAGAGCACGAUUUUUCUCAAUGAUUGCCUUUACUUCUUCCAAAGAAGGCCGGUAAUGUGGAAGGUUGAAAGUAUCGAGUGCUUUUUCCUCAAUCAGUCCCUGUACAAUUUUACACACAGAUGGUAUCAUAUAUUCACCCCAGAUUGUAUCGAGAUUGAGUGUCUAUGAAUCAUUACCUCUGAAACCAUGUCAUUCAUUGUCAUUCCAAGUAAGUCCUGUACGUUAUAUGCUACAGGAUCAUCGAUUUUAGGCGUCAAGGUCACAAAUAAGUGUCCCCCAGACACCAAUUCAUCAGCACGGAUACUCAAGAAGUUUGUAAAAUCUCUGUCAAAUUGAUCCAAAUAUGCAUCAUGCACACUCUUAGGACUUGUUUUACCUAUGUAAAUAUUGCCUUUGUUCAGUGGCAACCCUUCCUCAGUCACCAACCCACUCGGGACCUGCAGGAGAUAGGUAGAUAGAACGGGAAAAAAAAAGAAAAACUAUUACAAAUAGUAAUAAUGUAAAAAUUAUAUAAAGCAGUCAGCGGUGUUAAUACCAAAAUAGCAGUGCGUGUUAAUAACAAUAAAGCCGGAGAUUGGCGAACCUGAGAAAGCCAAUGAAGUCUGUAAGAAGAGUAUAAAAUGCAUGGAGUUGUCAGGAAAAAGUCUUCCAUAAAAAGAGCCGGGCAUAGCUGCAAUGAAGCAUGACCUUGAACCACAACCAUACGAUUCCUUAAGUUUUUGAUAAAAACUGGGCAGUAAUUUGAAAAUGGAGUUGAAAUCAUUGGACAUGAGAUCAUUCAAGAAAACUUGAAUAUUAGGUAGCUUAAGAAUGUUCAAGUUAUGGCGUUCUCUAUUAAUGCUAUCUAUAAUGCUUUCAACUGCUAACAACGUAUUCGGUCCCGAUGCACAUCCCAGAUCUGCUACUCUUAUGCACUCUGUCUCUGCUAGGUUGGCUUGACAAAACCCCUGAAUGCUCCGAUUGAGUGCAUGGUUGACAUUCAUAAACACUAAUCUCUGAAGGGUAGAAACAGAUUUAGAGAUCAGUCACAGAAUUAUAUAUAGAGGGCCAGAGAGAAAUCAUUCGAACGUCAUCUGAUAUGUAUCACUUACUUGAAAUGUUGAAUUUUUGGCAUAGCUUUCCUCAUCUCCCCCUCCUUUCGUGUGAAGAAUUUGUUCCAUUUCGAGUACCUUACUGCAAUUCUGCAAUUUGGACUUAUGUUAAAGGCGAGGAGGGUAAGGGUAGCAGUAGUAACAAUCUAGAUAUUGCUAUACAUGUCAAGGACAAGGGUACUUGGAAGUUGGCAGGAAAUACAAUGAGAAUUGAUCAGAAACAAUAUUCAUCAGUAGUUAAGGGAAUAUUGAAAGGCUUAAACUACAAUCAAACUCAAUGUGUGAAUAAGAUAUUAAGCUACAUCAGUACUAUGCUUGACCAAUGAAAUGAUUUUGAGCUGAACUACAUACGAUCAAGACUUAAUUGAUGGCAAACUCUAAAACUAUAUCAAGAUAACUUCACCAAAUGAAAAUCUUGUAAGAUGAGAAUAAUUGGAACAAACCUAUUCAGAAAGUCAAAUUAAUCAGCAGACACCAUUUUACCAGAAAGAAAUUGAAAAUACCACUAGAUUUGCUUGCUUCUGUCUCUUUAUUAUGAUAGAAGACACCACAUUCUUGACUAACUUAGGACUUCGAUGAUUUCCUUUGGGUUAAUCUAAAAUUCCUUACUAGUUUUGUUCAUGUUGCCUCCGUUUUGCAGCAAUGACACCCCAAGAGGCACACAUAUAUGCUCUGUUAAAGAGAGAGAGAGAGAGAGAGAGAGAGAGAGAGAGAGAGAGAUGAAGAAAAGAUGACAAACUUGACUCAAGCUACGGUUAAAAUGCUAAGAAAACAAAAGAAAAAGAUGAAGAAAGAUAAGUAGUUGACUUUGAAAGUAUAAGAACUGCAAAUCAAAGCAAAUACAAUGUUAGAUUUAAAUAUCAACCUAGAACAUUAGUAAAUUGCAGAAAUAAUAAAAACAAAAACUAUUGUAGAUUAAGAAAUCAAACCUGCGCAUAUGGUUUAGGCACAAAACUGAACUUUACUGGAGGAAUUUGAGAGAUUAAUGGUGCGAUGAUGAAGAGAGGAAUGAUUGGUGUGAGAGGUCAUUGAAGGAAAUUAGGUAAAAAUUAGGAACAAAAAGAAUGGAAGAAGUCUUGACUGUUGAGCUUGCUGAUCAGUAGUAAUAAUUGGGCUAGGUUGCACCUUCCAAGACUCUUGAAUAUUUUAUCAUUUCAAUGCACAGUUGUGCUGGUGUUAAAUAUUUUAAAAAGUUUAACUCACAUAACCAUUUGAGGCUGGUGAUCAUAAGACAUUGAUGAAUGUGCGUGAAGUAAACUACUGAUCGAAGUUUUAUAAGCAAAUACAUCUACAUUUGUUAAGUAGUCAAUGUAUGAAAGCGUAGGGAAGAAGAAAUUAUAUUGUAAAAGCAGGGGUGAUAUAAAUAUAAUAUUUACACCCUUGAGGAGUUCUGCACCCAUAUUUUGUGAAUUUCUUUCCAGUAUAAUAUGUUCUUCCACAUUGCCUAGUCCAUCACCAUUGUAGCCCAGAAUGUCAAAAGCACCAGCACCACCACAAGCACAAUCCAGAGGCUGCUCAAGGAAAUCUACUCUCAUGUGCUUGUCAUCAAAAAGCUGCCUUUGAGGGUUCAGUUUUGUUAGUACAAGGGCAUCCACAAUGGAAUGUAAUGAUGCGUGUAAUACCUGCCAUGACAUGGGUCCAUUACACGGUCACCCAUUGUGCCACGCAGCAUUCUGAUGAUACGUAUAAUAGGUGGGCUAGUGCUUUUAGACCAAUUUUUUUAAAAGUCUAAUUUUUUUGAAGUCACAAUGGACAAAAUUUAUACCGGCAAGGAAAAGUUAGCAACAUUCUUUUUUUUUUUCCAAUGGUUAUGUUUUAAUUCUCUGCAUAAACACAACACAUUCCUUUUUUUUCAUAUCUUAUUAUCCUACUCUAUUAUUCCUUUUACUCUCUCACUCAUUUUCCUCAACCUCUUUGCACAAUUUUUUAAAAAAAUUUCAAUAGUUUGUGAUUAUGGAUGAGAAUUUUAGUAGUUUUACAAAUAUGUUAAAUGCUCCAAAUAUAGAAAAUUAAUCCUCCUCGCAAAAUCAAAACCACCAAAAUUUUUCAAAUUACCCAAAUUACCCAUUUUCUGGUAUUCCUACAAAUGUGCAAAAUUAUGUAUAUCCCCUAAAUUUAUCCAAUUCCAACUAUCCAUCAUAUUUCCACAAUCUACCAAAUUUUUCAUACCCAAUUCCCAUGUAUCCUCCACCUACUUAUUUUAAUCCAAAUAUGGGAAAUCACUACACAUCGGGGGUACUAUAACAUUGGUAUGGGUUGUGGAUGCUCAAAAACUCCGUCGGAGAUAAGGAAGGAUUUUGAUUUCGUCGACCAACAAGAAAAUACUGCAUCAACAGAAUCAAUGUUGGACUCUCAAUUUCCACCGUAUUCAACACAACGAAGAAAAACUGUAAGCUAUGAAAAACUUAGCAAAUAAGUUAGACAAUUAUAAUUUUUGAAGUGAUUAUGAAAUCCUAUUGAAGGAUACCACAGGCAUGUCCGAGCAGCAGCUUAAAAUUCAUGAGCAUAUAUGUUCCAUCCUAAAAGCCACUUAUAAUAUUCCUUAGUUUAGUUUUAAUUUCAUGGUUAGUAAUGUAAUUUUUUUAAUUUUGCAUAUGUGUUGUAUCAUAUUAAUCACUUGCAUAGUACAUUUAUGGAGUAACUAGACACAAGUUAUGAAAUCCGGCCAUGAAAGUAGAAGUCUUUAGGGUAAGCAUAAAAGUAGAUACAAGCCAGUGCCAUUAGUAUUAAACGCUAGAAUUUUCAAUCCAAAGCUAUUUUGUUUUCUUCUUUACCGUCCCAUACUUCCUUGAUCGUUAAGCAAAUUUUGACCAAAAGCAGUAGGAGUCCUUUUUUUUUUUGCCGCUCGACUCUUUGGUAUUGGCUUUUACCUUUCCUGCAAUUUAGUUUAGCAUAUAUACUGCCAAUUAGCUUUUAUGUUCUCUAUCAUAACCCGUGAAUUAAUUUAUUUGCAUUCCCACAUUAUUUCACACCAAUUCUGGUCUUUAAACCUGCUUCACUUUUUAAUAGAAACGGUUAGCAGAAGUCCGAUUUCGAUACAAACAAAAAAUGUACAAACAAAAGUGUCACAUGGUAGUAUGGUACUAAUGAUGCCUGUAAUUUCAAGUAAAAUCAAAUCAAUGUUGUUGAGAUAUGCCAACUUUUUCUACAGAUUUUAUUAGAUUAUGUUUAAUAUUAGAAUAAUUUAGUUAGUAGUUAAAUAAAUCUUGUUGUUGGAAUAUUUGUUAACUAAAAAUCAUAUGGGUUGUUAACAAAUAUUUUAGCUAAGAUUUGUUGAGUAAGAGAUUAUGUUAUCAAGUGUUUUGUUGAGAUUUUUUAGGAUAAUUGUUAGUUAGAUAUUUUGUAAGUUUGUUUCAUGUAAUUACUAUAAAUAGUAAGUCAUGUUAUCAAUUUUUUUUUUUGCAACACUAAGGUGUUGUUUAUUAAUUUAUGCUCGAAAAAAACAACAAAGUGGUAUAAGAGCCUAUGUCUUAAUGCUUGUGUUGUUUUAUGAGAGUGAGUGCUUUGUAAGUUCAAAGUCAUGAUAGGAAAGAACUUUUUGUCAAAUGUUUCAAUUUUUAGUGGUGAAACUUACCAAAUUUAGACUAUUAAAUUUUGGACUUAUUUGGUAGUCAAUAAUCUAUGGGAUAUGGUGGACAUAAAUUUUGUAUCGCCAGUAUUUGAAAAAUCGAUGGAUACAUAGAUUAAAGACCAUAGAGUUGCAGUUAGACAGAGAUCCAAUACCAACAUUCACAUAUCAUUUGAUGCCGUUUUCACAAGGAUAAUGGCUUAUGAUUUGAUUGAGAAUAACUUAUUCUCAAUUAAAAUGAAAAAAAAAGUUUCACUAUGAAUUGACAAUUCUGAAGUAAAGCAUGAUGAAAUCAAGAAUUCAGAUUCUGAAAAAAUUUAACAGGAGAUCAUUGAUAAGUUAAGAGGUAUCAAAUUGAUUCCUGAUAUUUAUCAUCAAAAUUAUAAUAUUGUUUGUUUUUGAGUCUACAAGUUUUGAUGGUGAUGACAAAAUGAAGAACUAUGUAGAAGUUCAUAGUUAUAGUACAAGUUCAAACAUUAUCGAAUGGUGUUCCACUUUGAACCUAUGAGAAGGUUAUUUGGAAACAUAAAAAAAAAAUCUUUUAUUUGGAGUUUGGCAUGAGAAGACAAAAGGAGUGGAUUGUUGCAAGACUAAUCUUUAGCUUGCAUAAAAAUCCAAAAGAAGAAGUUCAUUGCAAGGCUAAUCAUAAGUUGCAGAGAUUCUUAUAAAAGUUUUCUCCAAAACAAGGUCCAAAAUUUUGAGAAAGCAAUUCAAAAUCUGCAGCAAAAGUGACAAGAAGAAGUGUUAAGAUAUGCCAACUUUUUUGACAGAUUUUAUUAUAUUAUGUUUGAUAUUAGAAUAAUUUAGUCAGUAGAUAAAUAAAUCUUGUUGUUAGGAUAUUUGUUAACUAAAAAUCACGUGCUUUGUUAACCAAUAUUUUAGAUAAGAUUUGUUGAGUAGGAGAUUAUGUUAUCAAGUGUUUUGUUGAAAUUUUUUAGGAUAAUUGUUAAUUCGAUAUUUUGUUAGUUUGUUUCACGUAAUUACUAUAAAUAAUGAGUUGAUGAAUUAAUAGCAUAAGCUCAUUUUCAGUUUCAAUACAAGUUUCUUAUAAACUUUUUUUUUUUGUAACACUAAGGUGUUGCUUCUUAGUUUAUGCCCCAAAAAAACCAACAAAUGUGCUAUAGUAAUUGAUUAGUACAACUAAUCUAUAAGAAAAUUAAUAGCUUAAUCCACUUAAUAGAAGAUGAGUUAAGUUCCUAUCAAUCUUUUCUCUCUUGUCAUCUUUCUCUUGGUCUUGGGCCUCUGCUUUGCUCCAUCUACCUUGGAAAGGGGAUCAGAUUCUUUAAAAGAAAAACCAACUAAACUGGUCUUGCUCCCUAUCCAACCUUAAUUCAUAGUCAAAAUCUGAAACAAAUAGAUGGAGACUAGCUUUCCAAAUGAAUAUGUUAUAAAAUGAGAACAAUUAGAAUAAACUUAUUCCGGAAGUCAAAAUACUCAGAACUUGCUAUUUAACCAGAAAGAAAUUGAAAAAUCUAAUAGAUUCCCGUACUUUUGUGUCUCCAUUAUGAUAGAAGUCACACAAAAUUCUUAACUAGUUUAGGAGUUUGAUUAUUUUCUUUAGACUAAUAUCACGCUUCUUUAGUAGUUUUUAUAAUGCACCUCCGUUCUGCAACAACGACAUCCCGGACACAUACAUAUGUUUGCAUCAUCUCAAUUUGUCACUGAUGAUGUAAUUCUGCUUAAUUUUUGCUCUUUAGAAAUUUUUGUAAUACAUUCUUCAUAAGUUUUGAUGGUUCAACGUGGCUAAUUUUACACUUAAUAUUACUGCAAUGUAACAUGGUGAUUUUUUUUUCCUGAAUCUAUUUAGGAAGCAGAUAUCAUCUUGUUGGAAAAAGAACAACAUUAUUGUUCCCUGUCGUUUUUGUGAGAAUGUCAAAAGGAAGAAAUUACUGUCACUGAGCAAGUAGGUUUCGCAGAUGAAGAUGGUCAUCAAUUAUAGUUAUUUUGCUCAUUAAUUUGCACUAGCAUUGAUGGAGGCUUCUCAAACACCACGUAGAAAAACUGAAAGUGUUAUGUUCUGUAGUGCUCGGAAUGCAAAAAUGAAGGUAAUGAUUUGGCUAAACUUUUUGUUAGCCUGUUUCGAUUUUUUUUCUUUAUCUAUCUUCUGGAAAUGUAAUUUGGUUCAGAAGAAGAGAAGAUUUGAUGAUGGAAGCUAGAUGUUGAAGAUGGCAGUAAUAGUCAUUCGGAAAGCAAAAGCAAAGCUUGUAGUGGGAUGGGAGAAAUUCAAAGAUUACGUGCUGCAAGAAUAUGUAUUCACAUGCAAGGGUUUCUAAGUCCUCGUUCAAAGGUUCAAGGAAGCACUGCGGCUAGAUCAUGCAAUGCCUUUCUCAAUUGGACAAUGGACCAUACCUUUCCAACCCAAAAACAAGAGAGAUUCAUGAUGCACUUGUGCUAACAGUUGAUUAUUCCGGGUGUCUAACCUAACUAGGUGUUGAAUUUGUCAAGGUAAACUAACAUAUAUUUACCAUAAUACCUUGUUGGGUUUUAACUUAUUUUUUUAUUUGAAUAGUAGAAAAUUAGAAAAUUUUAACUUAAAUAAGCAAUAAACAGGUGCUUUUCAAGUAGCAUUUUUUUUUUUUGUGCUUUAGCUAAGAAUGAUAAGUAGAUCGAAGAAUUUUUACCAAGAAACUCUUUAAAAUAUCUGACAUUUGUGAAGAACAAUGAAGGUGGUAAAUCAAUAGUAAAUAUUACUCAAGGAAGUUUUUCAAGGUGCUUCAUUCCACUUGAUAGAGAUACUGUGUCACAAGUCUAUUCUGCUAAGGUUAGAUCAGCAUUUUUUCAGCGUAGCCAUUGAAAUGAAGUUGACAAUCAACUCUAACAAAUUCAAGGAAGAAGGAAACUACUUGCCGACAUUUAUAGAAUUGCGACAUUCUUUUGCCUCUUCUUUCUUAUUUGUUUUGAAUUAUAAUAUAUGAAUAUCAAUCAUGACUCUUUUCCUUGGGUUAUUAUGCCAAACUAGCUAAGAUUAGAACCUCACUUUGUAAGCAUAGGAAGGAUUAUCAUCUCACUGUUCUUCCGAGUUUUACAUAGACAUACAGCUUUCAUUCUCAUGUUCUAUUAACAUUGAAACUGUGCAAAUUUUAUUGCCCUCGCUAAUUUUUGAAUUCCAUUUUUGGUUCAUCUAGUAAUUAUUUGGAAUGCUCAUCUUUCCAUUACUAGUUGCUAACAGUGUUCUUUGUUCAUUGUCAACUCUUUAUCCAAUAUCUGUAUCAAUAUUGAAGACAAUCAGUGUCUAAUAGGCUUUGUUGGAACAUGUAGGAAGCAGCAGCUUUCGAGCUAAAGUGUAUGAAUGCUGUCUCGAUGGAUUAAAGGUUUACUUUGUUUCUCUCAAAGUUGGCAUGUCUUUCACACACAUAUGGAAGUGCUCGACCCUUCAUGUAUUUUGCAGGUUUCUUCUGAUUUGAUUUGCCUGAGACAAAGGAAAGCAUAUGAAGGAACCAUUUAGCUGGCAUGGCUAAGACCUAUAGCCAAUUUGGUUGAUCUUGGUUCGAGUUUAAGCUGUCUGGAUUGCUUUUUGUCAAUCUCAUGAAUAUGGAUCUCAUAUCAAUGGAAGCAUUGAAAGUAUGAAGAUGAGAAGGCAAGAAUACCAGUAGCUAGCUGUUGGAUUGUAGGCAUGUAAAAGGCCUUAAGUUUAACUAUACUAAAAUUGUCACACAUAUAGCUGGCUAGAAUGCAUAUAUUACUCUAACUUGGCCUACAAAGAGAUAAGAUUUGAGGUUUUAAUGUGAUCCAGAGCUUUCAGCUUUGGAAGUACUUAAUUGACCAUGCUUUGAGGGUUUUGAUUUAGGUUUCAACCAAUCACAAGUUCAUAAAAAUAGAGCUAAACAAGUAUGAAUUUCAUGAGACGUACCUCAAAUGACUUCAAAAGGUUUCUGAAAUUAUCCCUAAUCUAAAAGGUCCACAGGUUUAUGCAUUAAGCACUAUUUAGAUCUAUGUGUUAAGCACUAUUUCUACCCCUUUCAAACCAAUACAACACAUUAAGUCUGCUCAUGAAUCUAAUCCAGACAAAGUAUACAUCUUCCGCUUUCAUGUUCUGGAGAGGGAAAGAACCAGACUGUUGAUAGGGCUCUUCAUCUUUCCCUGAUGUGGUGAGAUAUUGGCGGCCAACUUCGUAAAGAAAUCGUUCGUUAUACCUUCUCCAAAGUGAGCUUGAAAGAUGGGUUCAUAAGUAGCUCUCAAGCUCCUAGCCCUGUACUUGGCAUUGGUGUUUGUAUUGAAUACGUAGCCCUUCCCGCAAUCUGCCGCCCCCGCACCAAUCACUCGCAGUUGAAUGGUAUCCAGAUACCUUAUCUUAAGAGCACGAUUUUUCUCAAUGAUGGCCUUUACUUCCUCCAAAGAAGGCCGGUAAUGUGGAAGGUUGAAAGUAUCGAGUGCUUUUUCCUCAAUCAGUCCCUGUACAGUUUUACACACAGAUGGGAUCAUAUAUUCACCCCAGAUUGUAUCGAGAUUGAGUGUCUAUGAAUCAUUACCUCUGAAACCAUGUCAAUCAUUGUCAUCCCAAGUAAGUCCUGAACGUUAUAUGCUACGGGAUCAUCGAUUUUUGGCGCCAAGGUCACAAAUAAGUGUUCCCCAAACACCAAUUCAUCAGCACGGGCACUCAAGAAGUUUGUAAAAUCUCUGUCAAAUUGAUCCAAAUAUGCAUCAUGGACAUUCUUUGGACUUGUUUUACCUAUGUAAAUAUUGCCUUUGUUCAGUGGCAACCCUUCCUCAGUCACCAACCCACUCGGGACCUGCAGGAGAUAGGUAGAUAGAACAGGAAAAAAAAACCAGAAAAACUAUUACAAAUAGUAGUAAUGUAAAAAUUAUAUCUGGCAGUCUGGGGCGUAGAUAGAUAGUAAUGCAAAUUAAGAUAGUGAGGGUGUGCAAAUACCAAAAUAGCAGUGCGUGUUAAUAACAAUAAAGCAGGAGAUUAGCAAACCUGAGAAAGCCAAUGAAGGCUGUAGGAAGAGUGUAUAAAAUGCAUGGAGUUGUCAGGAAAAGGUCUUCCAUAAAAAGAGCCGGGCAUAGCUGCAAUGAAGCAUGACAUUGAACCACGUCCACAUGAUUCCUCAAGUUUUUGAUAAAAACUGGGCAAUAAUUUGAAAAUGGAGUUGAAAUCAUUGGACAUGAGAUCAUUCAAGAAAACUUGAAUAUUAGGUAGCUUAAGAAUGUUCAAGUUAUGGCAUUCUCUAUUUAUGCUGUCUAUAAUGCUUUCAACUGCUAACAACGUAUUCGGUCCCGAUGCACAUCCCAGAUCUGCUACUCUUAUGCACUCUGCCUCCGCUAGGUUGGCUUGACAAAACCCCCGAAUGCUCCGAUUGAGUGCAUGGUUGAAAUUCAUAAACACUAAUCUCUGAAGGGUAGAAACUGAUUUAGAGAUCAGUCACAGAAUUAUAUAUAUAGAGGGCCAGAGAGAAAUCAUUCGGACUUCAUCUGAUAUGUAUCACUUGAAAUGUUGAAUUUUUGGCAUAGCUUUCCUCAUCUUCCCCUUCUUUCGUGUGAAGAAUUUGUUCCAUUUCCAGUACCUUGCUGCUACUCUGCAAUUUGGAGUUAUGUUAAAGGUGGGGAGGGUAAGGGUAGCAGUAGUAACAAUCUAGCUAUUGCUAUGCAUGUCAAGGACAAGGGUACUUGGAAGUUGGCAGGAAAUAAAAUGAGAAUUGAUCAGAAACAAUAUUCAUCAGUAGUUAAGGGAAUAUUGAAAGGUUUAAACUACAAUCAAACUCAAUGUGUGAAUAAGAUAUUAAGCUACAUUAGUACUAUGCUUGACCAGUGAAAUGAUUUUGAGCUGAACUACAUAUGAAAGUCACUGGAAAUACUUGUGGGAUGUCAAAUAUCUUCUGUUUUAACCUGCUUUACUCUCUGAAAUAAGCAUUUGCCAAGCAUCAUUAUCAUUCAACAUAUGACUAAGUAUAUAUGUUUCGUCAACCGAUCAAAAUGUGUGGGAGCAUGAUGCUCCAACUUAACUGGUUUUGCUCCUUCUAUCCAACCUUAAUUGAUGGCAAACUCUAAAGCCUAAUAUAUCAAGAUAACUUCACCAAAUGAAAAUCUCGUAAGAUGAGAAUAAUUGGAACAAACCUAUUCAGAAAGUCAAAUGAAUCAGCAGUCACUAUUUUACCAGAACGAAAUUGAAAAUACCACUAGAUUUGCUUGCUUCUGUCACUAUUAUGAUAGAAGACACCACAUUCUUGACUAACUUAGGAGUUCGAUGAUUUUCUUUGGGCUAAUCUAAAAUUCCUUACUAGUUUUGUUCAUGUUGCCUCCGUUUUGCCGCAAUGACACCCCGAGAGGCACACACAUAUAUAUGCUCUGUUUAGUUAGUUGUUGAUAGGGUGUUUCUACAAAAACUGUACAUAUUAAUCGUUUGCAUCAGCAACAAAAUUCAAUAUAUAUUUCUUCAUUCAGUGUUCAGAGAAGUGAUCUAGCCUUUUAGCCAAUUAACAAAUUUUGACUUCUUGAACAAAGUACAUGAAUGUGACAAGCCUGAGACCAAGAAAACAAGAAAUUCGUUUUCUAGUAAUAUCAAAUCAAGUUAGAAUUACUGGCUAAAUGGAAAGUAUGAACAGGUGAACUUUCUCCAUGAAGUCAAACACUCUAAAGACAGCUUUCAUCUCCAACUUUAACAUCAUAAUAUUCCAUAAAAAAAAGAAAAGAAAUCCCCACUGCCCUAAUGCAAAUAUAAUACAUAUAAUCACAAAAUGAAAUAUAAGGAAAAAAUCCUUUUAGAUAACAAAAAAUAUCCACCAGUAGAUAUAAGGCAGAAAGAAAGCCAAAACUGGUACAAAGAUAACUUGUACAAUAGUGCUGACAUACUAAGCCAAAAGCUUAGGCAUCACACACAUCAGUUAAUAUUCAUGGGAGCCACCCCAAGUCAAAGCCGCAAUAUGACUAUGUAUCAAUCUCAUUGAAUAUUGUCCACGAAACUGGAAAACAAACUUCUUCAAGAAAAAAAAAAUUGCUACUAAUUGUUCAACCCAACCAAAUGCUAUGGUAAACAAUGCUGAUAAGUGUUAGGAAAUUGGCUUAAUUUCUUUUAGUCAAGAUCCUUAUUUGGUGUGGAAAGUAACUAGAUUUUAGUUACUUGAAGUAGUAGUCAAGUAAAGUCCUAUUUGGUUUAAAAUUAGAUGUUUUUUGCUACUCUAUAUGAGUUUAGGAAUUAGUAUUGGUUUCCAAUUGUUAUUUGGUUUUUUGGCCAAGUAAUGCUCUCUAUAAAUAGGUAGAUUGGUAUACUACAAAGACACAAGAAAGAAGUGAGAGAGUUUUUAGUGGGUGAGAGGGUUAUACAAGAGUUGGACUCGGGAAUCAAGUUGUAGUUUUGUGGUGUUUUUCCUCUCAUAGUAAGAACAAGUUUUUCAAGUUUUUCUCUUCGUGGACGUAGACUUGCUGAUUAAACCGAACCACGUUAAUUCUUGUGCAUUGCUCAUCGUUUGUGCUAGAUAUUAUUUUCUAUUAAAUUGUUGGUCUUUUUUUUUUUUAAAUAGUUGGCCUGAUACCCUACCAAUAAGACUGAAAAAGGAUCCCACUCAUCACGUGGCCUUAUAACCUCAAAGUCUGGUCUUCCUGAUGCCAAGAAAGAUUCGUACUCUAAAUUGUCUUUAUUGAAAUACAUGUCACUAACCCUGGAAGGUGAGCUCCCUUGGUCAGGAAUCACAACUAAUUUAGGCAUCUUGCUGCUUAUCUUUAGUUAGAAUUCCUAAUGCCCCUUUGCGCAAAACUAUAUGGUCAACGCGUCCAAUAAAUUUUGUAUACUAAAGCUGAGAUGUAAUUGUAUUUUGUGUGUGAUUUUAUUCCCUACACGAGAACAACUGCACUUACAUAAUACUAACUGUUAGUUUUAACAAUAAAUGCCCAUCGAAAAAAAUCGUGUGCAAACCAAAUCCUCUUAGGUGAUUUGGCCACAAAGCAGUAACCUAAUAUGUAAUUCUGACAAUAGGUUAAGAAUUCAAACCCUUUCAAAAUAGUACUGCGUCCUUUUAAUUUAGAAGUUAAUUUCUUUCCCUACCUCCUAUAGUCCACUUGAGUCUUCUCUUAAUAUAAAAUAGCUUAACGAUAAGAGUAGGAAUAGAGUUAGAUAUUAGCGAUUGAAAUGAAAAAAAGGUGUAACAUGACUACCCAAUUAAUUGAUAUCCCCCACAAGAAGAAAAUUCAGCUUCCAAAGGCCUUGUAGGACAAUUCAUAGGUAAAUAUUAUUUGAACCAUAGAUUAUUAAUGAAAUUUAGUAGAGUGCUCGUAUGAAUUCAAGAACAUUAUUCUUCAAGCAUUAGAUUUCCCGUGUGCAAAGAUUACAAAAUAAGUGAAUAUAAGGCGAUAUAAGACAAGGAACAUUCCUUAAUUUGAAUCUAACAUUAGAUAGUAUACAUGUUCUUCCUCUUUCAUAUUUUAGAAAGGGAAACAACCAAAUUGUUGAUGGAGGAGUCCUUGAUCUUUCCAUGAUAUUGUGAGAUUUUGGCGGCUAAUUUGCUGAACAAAUUGUUGAUAAUACCAUCCCUAAAAUGAGCUUGAAUGAGGGGUUCAUAAACAGCUCUCAAGUUCCUAGAAGAUCUUCUAGGCACUGAAUGUUCUAUAUCAAAACGCUUGCUUCCAGACUCAUCAUUAAUAACCUCUAUCAGAAGUAUUAUUAAACAGCAGAUGGAAUUUCUGGUAUACUUAUCAAGAAAGGAACCUCAUCAUUGUACCAUAACUGAACAGCAAGAAACAGCUAGUGACAAGUUGUCGGCCUGUGCAAUAAUAAAAACCUGCUCAACUAAAAUUAAUUUCUGUAGAUAGUGGUAAGCAGGGUCGAAUCCACAGGGAGUGGGAGUAAUUGUUUCUUUUCAAAUUCACAGUGACAAGGGGGGUAUUUUUAUAUCAGAAGUGACAAUUAAAGAAAUUCAAAUAAAACCUAAGAAACUACUACAAAUUAAAUAACAAAUUACUAAAAUCAAAUGAGUAAUAAUUAAGAAUCUAGUCAAGGAAUAACUUCAGCAAUGGUUCACCCAGUUGAUCAUCGAAACAAGGCAAUUCUAAUUAUUUAUCAAUAAAUAGGUUAUAACUUCCAAACAAGCGAUGACAGUUAACCCCUCCUUAUUGUGUCGGUGACUAAGGUACGCCCGUUAAUCACUACUCUAAUUGAGAAAUAAUCUUAGGUACGCCCGUAAGAUUUAAUUCUCCAAUUGCCUUACGUAUUAGAGGAGCCCUAUUCUAACCAAAUAACACACUACCAGGGUUAUUUUAGGUUAGCCCGCGUAUUCCCCUGACACAAAUCCAAUCAUGCCAGUUAUCACUAUUUUGAGACAAUUAAACAAUUACGGAUUUAACGUCCCAAUUGACAAUAGAUUAUCAAAUUAACUAAUUAUCCGGAUCCAAGACAAUCAAUUAAUUAAACAAUCAUAAGCACUGUAACCAGGGAAUAUGCGAAUACCAAUAAAUAAAAAGAAAAGAUAAAAUUAAAUCGAUCUCACAAUUUUUAGGCAAAUCAAAGCCUCCGUUGCUCCUUGACCAGACAAAGGAAAUUAGUUCAUUCUUGGUGAGCAAAGCCCACGUAAAAUUGAAACAAGAGUUGUUUGCUCAUGCGAAAGAAGAAAAACAAUCAAAAGCUACAAAAGGAAAAGUCAAAGGCUGAUGCUUCAUUCCUCAUGCGCAGGGGGCAACCACAAAAGACGAAAGAGAAAAGUCAAAGAAAGCUAAAGGGAGUCUAUUGUUUUUCCUCCUUAUCCGCAACGAGAGAACUCCUCCUAAAAAGCUAAGAAAGGAAAAAUCAAAGCUACUCUAAUGCUUGGCUCCUGUGCCGCGGCCCUUAGGGAAAAGAAAAAUUCAGCCGUCCUCUCCUCUUUAGUAAUUACCAAAAUUGGGCCAAAGUUUUCCUUUGCCAACAAUGCCCCUGGGGUAAGCUUUGCGACUUGGACUCCUUUUCCUGUCAAAUUGGCACUUAUUUUCAUAUUUUUGUUCUACUCCCUGAAAUAAAUGCAAAAUACUAAAAGUGAGUACAAUCCAACAAUUAAUCCACACCAGAUCAGGUAAUAGGAGAAAUUAAUAAUAAAUUAAAUGGUAAAAUUGCAACCUAUCAAUUCCCCCCACACCUAAACCAUGCCUGUUCUCAAGCAUGAUAACAGCAAACAAACCCAAUGUUUGACAAAGACUAUUGCCCUAUCUACCAUAUUGCCAAGACACCAAGAAAAACAUAGAUCGAGUCUCAGUGAUCAAGAUCCAAGAAACAUCACUCCGGUUAACUUCUAAACCACAAACUCCUCCAAUUUCAGGUUAACUAAUCUAAGAAAAAGGAAUGACGCACAACAUUUAUCAGCAAAUGGUCCAACUAUUAACCAAAAUUUCAACAUUAAAUCCAUAAAUCGGCAAGCUGACUAUUAUUAUACACUAACACAACCUUCACUUUUUUAUCACAUUUUUCUACUUUUCUCUUUUUUCUUUCUUUUUUUCUCUCUUUUUUUUUUUUUGGCAUUUCUCAAUAGUAACAAAAGACUUAGUCGCUAGCCAUUGGAGCCUUUUGACGCGAACUCUGACAUUUGUUAGAUGAAAGAGCCCGGUUACUCAGCUCCUAUCGCUAUACGACCACGUACUCAUAGGAAUUACUACCUUUUGACAUGAGAAUCAACACUUUUAGGUGCAGAUCCCCGGUUACUCAGUAGUAACUAAUAGCAGAGUACAGUCAAGUUUAUUCAUAGCUACAAAUCACAAAAACUCAAUAUAACACAAGAACCAAAAGAAAACUUGCAUCAGCUAGCCUCAUUUUCAAACAUAGAGAACUAAAAUUAAUAACCGGACCAAUUCACAUGAAAAUGCCAACAAUCAUUCCCUAUACCUAGGAAAGUUAACCAAAAAUUAUAAGAGUAAAACAAUCAUCGAUAUUUACCAAAGAGAUGUUUUUGGAUUCAACCACAUUAACUUGAUACCCUUUUAUUAUUAAAACUUGGCAAAAGUAGAAAUAGAGGCAACAAUCCAACAUCAAACCUUGGCAUGCACUUAUGAGCCAAUCACUAGAAAGAAAGAAAAUGAACGAGAGGUGGACAAAUAACAAACUAAAAAUAAAGAAAAAAAUCUAAAAACUAAAAAAAAAGACAGAAAAACUAGUAUAGUUGUCCCCCCCCACACCUAGAUCCUACAUUGUCCUCAAUGGAGGGAUUAAAUCAAUUAAAGCGAAGAGGGCAACGAAACUUCCCUCACGAGUGGCAAAAGGGGAGGCAAGAACGGUGCACGGAAACCGAUGUGAUAAAAGUACGCGGCCAAGGUCUGAGACAUCUCAACUCAAUUCAACCAGCAAAUGCAAAACUCUGUCCACCCAAAAUCUCAACAAAGCCUCCAAGUGGACAGUUAAUUUCUCAACUCAAAAGCAGCAAUUCCAGUAAUAGCAGUAUAGAAAUUGGAGAAUAACCACACAAUCACAAGUUUUCUCUUUUCAAUCAGGCAACCAACCAAUUAGAAAUACCAAAUGCUAGGCAAAAUACCCCAACCAGUACCACUGGUGCACGCACAAGUAGGAAACUAUUCAAACAGUCAACCCAAAUAACUUGAUAAAUCCAAACACACCAAUCAGUAUCGAAAAUUAGAAGAAAUCAAAAUGAGAAUCAAUUGGCAAUCAACUCUCAAAUCACCCCCAAUACUCCCAAACAAAUAAACUGCCAAAUGCAACGGCAACGACCAGCCCAAAAAUGUUGUAGGAGCCCUAAACAAAGCACAAGUGAAAAACAAACUAGUCACCUUCUGCUAUUAUGCACCAAGGAACCCAAGAAAACGGUAACAAAAUCUAGCAAUCUGAGACAAAAAAAAAAAGAUUAACGAGGGAGAAAUUUGAAUACCUCCACCUGUCAAGGAUGGACAGGUGGUGACAGGAGCGAGGCUGCUGGUGGAGGCGUGCGAGAGGUGAAGUGUGAUCUGCGUGGCUGGAGGGUAGAGAGAUUGUGGGUGGCGGUGCUUGCAAGUAGACGGCAUGCUGAAAUAGUCGGCAGGAGAGAGCGAGUGAGGAGAGAUGCGGCAGUGACCUGUGGUCGAUUGCGAAGGAAAAUGAGACGGCCGCGAGAGCGGCGACAGCGUCAAGCCAAAGGCGGCGGCGCACGGUCUUGGGGGAGCGAGGACACGGAAAACGCGCGCGAGUUGGCCCGCGCUGGCGGAGGAGAGGGUGCUGCGACGAGCUCACCUGCUGCAGCGGAGAAUUGGUGAAGCUGUUGGCACUGUGAGGAAGAUGGCCGCGAGGCACGCAACGACGGCGCGCUUGACAGGGACGGAUGGCGGCAACAGUCGCAGAGAGAGAGAGACGGCGAGUUGCGAUGGUGGAGAUGGAGGCGGGCAUGAGGUGUGCUCGGUCAAAAGAGAAGAAGAAACAGGGGAGAAGAAAGAAAGAAAAGAGAAAGAAAGAAAGAAAGAAAAGGAAACAAAAGAAAUAAGAGGGAAGAAAGAAAAAGAAAAAGAAAAAGGAAAUAGUUUUUUUUUCAUUUUAUUUUUUUCUCUUUUUAGAUUUUUUUUUACGGGAAGACUCUCCCUUUUGUUUUUAGUUAAUUACUAAAAAAAAGGGUUUUUUAUUUUGAAAAAAAAUAUUUUUGAAGAUUUUUUUUAUAUAUAUAACUUCUCUCUUUUUUUUAUUGACAAAAUUUAUUUUUGAAAUACAAAAGUAGAGAUUAACAAAAAAUCAAUAAUCAUUCUUGAGCUUUUUUUGAAUAUUUACCUUUCCCGCGAACGUGACGCGGGCACGUCAAGAGGGCAAGAACUCCUUCUGAUGAUUCUGACCACGAGCUCUCCAUAUGUCAUGACGCGGGCACGUCAUGAGGGCAAGAACCCCUUCUGAGGAUUCUGACCAUGAGCUCUCUGUUCAUCAUGACGCGGGCGCGUCAUAAGAGAAAAACACCUACAAAUCAUCAAAACGAAAAUUGAAAUCCGAAAUCAUUCAAAUUUAAGGAAAACAUAUUUAAACUAUCACAUGAAAUCAAAACAAACAAUUAAAAGAAACAAUUGGGUUGCCUCCCAAUGAGCGCCUUUCUUUAAUGUUUUUGGCUAGACAUUAUCAUGUUUUGUUCAUGGAGGAUAAAAUUGUGUGACUCGUCUUAAUGUUUCAUCCUCUGUAUAGUCCUGAUAACCCUCGUAAAUAGAGUAAUCCUUGAGCGCACGAGUUAUGGGUUUCCAUGGACUAGUAAAUGGCGCUAAGCAAGUCAACGAUAAUUUGCAUUCUCUACUCACUCCUCCAUCACACGCAUUUAUCGGUUCAAUAUAUUUUGCCAUCUCCACGCUUGACUUAUUCCUGUCAUGAAAUUUUAAAUUUUCUGAUAUAAUAAAAUCAAUUUCAGAAACAGGAGUUGAAGAAUAUGAGUCAGGAAAAUGUUGAUUAAGCAAUGGAGAAGAUGUCAUCGCAUUUGGAGAUUGUACACUGGAUUCAUUCACUUGGACGGAUUGAUAUUCGGGGCUCAUUUUUUGCAUAUCAACUUUCUUUUCAACUACACCUUUAGAUUCGUCUCCUUGAAACUCUUGCAGUUCCAUGUCAUUUGGCCGGAUAAUUGCACUCUCAUCUUCCUCAAGGUCAAUGUUGGUCUGUGAGGGCAUGACAGGUUGUCGGCCUGUGCAAUAAUAAUUACCUACUCGAGAAAAAUACAGAUUUUAUAUAUAGCGGUGAGUAUGGUUGAAUCCACAGGGACUGAGGAUAACUUAUUUCUUUUAGAGUCCGAAAUAUGGGGGGUUUUUUUGAGAAUAUAAAAUAACUAAUUAACUAACUAAUAAAACAACUACUAGAAAUAAAUAGAAAUUAAUCAAUAACCAAUACGACUCUAGCCAAAGAUACAACUUUUCAGACAUGGUCCAUUCAACUGAUCAUCAUGCAAAGAUAAUUCAAUUACUCAUUACUAGAUUGGUUAUAGUUGUCAUACACGCGAUGAACAACCAGCCUUUCCUUAAUUUCUCGAUAGUUAAGGUACGACCGUUAACUAUUUCUCUAACCAAGAAAUAACCCUAGGUACGACCGUAGGAUUUAAUUACUCGAUUGCAUUAAAAAUUAGAAAAGCCCAACCCUACCUAACAAACACGCUACGAGGGUUUGUUUAAGUUAGAUCAUACAUUUCCCUAACAUGAAACCAAUCACGCUAGUCGCCACUGGUGUUAAUCAAUUGAACAAUUACGGAUUCAAUCAAUUAAUUUGGCAUUAGAUCAUUAAGUUAAUUCGAAUAUCGGGCCCUUGACAUUCAAAUAACAUAACAAGCAUAAGCCAUUAAAUCAAGAAACGCACAAAUACCAAUAAAUAAAAGAAAUAGGUAAAAUAAUUAGAUCUCACAGAUGUUCGGAACCGAAUCCUCAAAUUGACCUUCGACUAGAAAAAAUGAAUUAGUUCAUCUUCAUGGAGGAAAUCCCAUGCAAAAGUGCAGAAGUAAUUCUCUAAAAAAAAGCUAUGUUUCCGUCCUCUUCUUUCAUAGAAGAAAACGGCAAAGCUAUAUAUAUUUCUGAAUACGAAGGAACUAGCAAGGACAAAAACAAAACGAAGCUCUCCUAUUCUAAAACAAAGACUACUUGUCUAGUGGUCCCCGCCGAAUUUAGAGAAAAGGGUGCAAUCCGUCAGAUCAAGCUCUCUACCGAAUUUUUCUCCUUUUGUUUCCUAUUGCUAAUCAAAGACUCCCAUCAGCACAAAGAAAAGGAAAUCGUUUUCUUCUUCUCCUUGUGGGCCAGCAACCGAAAAAGGCUUCCUUGUAGCACCAUAUGGGGCCCAACUGUUUGAAAUCUCAAUUGUAUAGUGGAAAGUCCCUCAUUUUUUGUAGUUUUCUGCUCCAUUCUCUGAAAUUAAGUCCAGAUACCAUAUAUAACCAAAUAUAAGUAGAUAUUAACAAUUAAAACAAUAUUUGACAGGGACAAAGGGGAAAUUAAUAAUAAAAUAACCAACAAUUAAUACCCUAUCAAUUCCCCCCACACCUAAAUCAUGCUUGCCCUCAAGCAUGAGAACAGCAAUUGAAUAUCAAAAUUUGACAAUGGCUAUUGCUCCAACUACCGUAUUGCCAAGAUACCCAGAAAAACAUAUAUCAAGCAUCACAGGUCAAGAUCAAAGAAAAUCACCCCGGUUAGCUUCCCAACCACCAACUUCUCCAAUUUAAAACAAACUAAUCUAAGAAAAAGGAAUGGUUGCUCAUAUUUAUCAGCAAAUGGUCCAACUAUUAACCAAAAUCUCAACAUUAAACCCAUAAAAUGGCAAGCUGACUUUUAUCACAUUUUCUAUUUUUUUUUCUUUUCAAUAGCAACUAAUGACUUAAUCUCUAGCCAUUGGAACCUUUUGACUCGAACUCCAACAUUUGUCAAAUGAAGGAGCCCGGUUACUCAGCUCCAAUCGCUACGGGACCACGCACUCAUAGUAGCUACUACCUUUUGACGCGAGAAUCGACACUUUAGGUGAAGAUCCCCGGUUACUCAGUAGUAACAACUAGUGGAGUAUAGUCACCUCUUAUUUACAAUCAUAUAGCACAAUAACUAAAAAAAAUAACACAAAAAUAACAGCAGCCAACCUAAAAUUUCUAACCAUGGAGAACUAAAAUUAAUAACUGGACCAAUUCACAUGAAAAAUGCCAACAAUCAUUCCCUAUGCCUAGAAAAGUUAACCAAAAAUUCGAAAAGUUAAGCAAUUAUUGAUAUUCACCAAAGAGAUGUUCCUGAACUCAACCACAUUAACUUGAUACCUUUUUAUCACUAAAACUUGGCAAUAUCAGAAUUAGAGACAACAAUCCAGCAUCAAACUUGGUAUCAUAUGAAGACCGACCACUAGAAAAAAAAAGAAAAGAAAAUAAACGAAAAAGGAGAUAAAUAUCAAACUAAAACAAAGGAAAAACCCCUAGAACCUAAAAACUAAAAAUACUAGCACCCAAACUGAUCUCCCCCCUACACCUAAAUGACACAUUGCCCUCAAUAUGAUAAUGUAAAAGCAGAAGGAAGGAGAGGGCGACGGUACUUCACUGGAGUCAUCAAAAUAGGGGCAGUUCAGGUGGAAAUUGUGGAUCAACUCGCAUCUGGAGCUAGUGCCAUUCGUGGCUUCACCAUGGACUCUAGACAUCACUUUAAGCAACAAGAGACUACAAUUGCCAACAAAUAAUGGAAGCCGGAAAUUCAAAGCAAUAACAAUUUCAAAGCCAACCCAACGAAUAAAAUGCACAAUUCAACCACCCAGAGGACAUACAAAUACUCCAACACUUAUAGCAAUGGCAAUCAAUAAGCACUUGCGGUCCCAAUGUUGUCAAUUUCAGAAUCAAUGCAGUCCAAAAGUGCAACAAAUGCUCCAAAGAUGUAGGACUUGAAUUUAAGAGACAGAGUACCCCAACCAAGUCAAUUAGGCACAAUCGAUCAGCAAUAAGUAAAGGAAGGGGCACAGUAGCCUUCCAAUUCAACAAACAGACGCAGAAAGUACCCCACAAUACCAGAGGACAGCUCCCAACAAUGCACCAAAACAACAAGUCUAACGAAAUGAGAGUGGUGCCACUAGCUAAUCUAAAGAACAAAUUUCAGCACCGGGACACAAUGCCACCCAAAAUCUCAACAACUGUCUCCAAUUGGACAGGCAAAUACCCAAUUAAACCUACCAAAAUUAGCAAAUGACCCAAGAAACCGACAAAACCAACAAAAGUAGUUCAAAAGUUGGAUAGAAACAACUCAAUCACAAAUGCUCAGCAGUCACAACUCGAUCAAUUAGGCAACCAAUAACCCAGGAUUGACAAAUGUUAAAACAACUUCCAUCGCCAGUGCCACUGGUGAAUGCACAGGGAAAAACUAAAUCAAAUAGCCAACUCAAAUUUGAUCCUCACAGAUGAAAAUAGAGGCCUCAAGUAGGCAAAACCAAAUCAAUGCUCAACAAUGGAAUCAAUACUAGAGAAUACCCCCAAAUGGAGCAGCAAAUAAACUUAGUUCCACCAAAAUUAACCCAAGAAAAUGCCUAAAUCACCCCCUGCUUUCAGCUAUCAAGAAACCCAUGAAACAAAAGCUCAAAUUCCAGCAAUAGAAGAACCAGACAAAUACUAAUCGAGGUGGAAGAGUCAAUACCUCCACCUGUCAAAUUGGACAGGUGGGAAUGGCGUGACAGUGGGUGGCGUGAGCAGCGGGGCAGCGGCGGCCGGCGAGCUAGGUACGGCUGGGCAGAGCUAUCGGCGAGCUUUGGAGCUGCUGGUGCGUGUGGUGGUGAGCUGGUGAGUGGAGACAGCGGCGAAGAGGGUGGCGGCGGGUUGAGGCAGAGGGGUGCAAGCUGGUGGUGGAGAGAGGAGGCCACGGCGCGCUUGAGAGCUGGCGGUGCUCGCGUGGUGGUGGACCGUGAGGCUGAGAGAGAAACGACCAGGAGAGAGGGAGAAAGCGAGAAGGGGACGGCGUGGGCUGCUGGUGGAGCGGAGGUGGAGUUGGUGAGCGCGAGGUUGGCGGGCAAGAGGUAGCCGUGACGUGCGAGGUAGAGGAGAGAGGCAGCGGCGUGAAAGAAAAAGAAGAAAAAAAGGGAAACAGGGGAGCGGCGGAGAAGAAGAAGAAAAGGAAAGGAAAGAAAGAAAAGAAAGGAAGAAAGAAAAAAAAUAGUUUUUGGGUUUUUUGUUUUCAAUGAUUUUUCCAAAUUUUUUUCCGAAUUUAAUUUUUCAAAAUUUGAAUUUUUGAAGAAAAAGAAAAGAAAAAAAUGUUUUUUUUUAAAAAUUUUUGAAUUUUUUUUCAAUGUGAAUUUAAAAAAAAAAUUUUUGAAUUCAUUUUUGGGUCGUCAAACACCGUGUGGGCACGCCAAGAUUAUAAAACGUCCACUGAUCUCAGGAGACACAAACACCGCGUGGGCACGCCAAGAUUGGUAAACGUCCACUGAUCUCAGGAGUCACAAACACCGCAUGAGCUGGCCAAGAUUGCACUUCCUGGUCACAGUGAAGAAAAAUAUCAAGAUCGACUACUACCCAAAUGAGAAACAACAAAACGAAAGAAUUGAACAACGAAAAACAAUAAAAUCAAUAUUUGGGUUGCCUCCCAAAAAGCGCCUUUCUUUUAUGUUUUUGGCUAGACAUUGUCAUAUUUGUUCAGGGAAGAUAAAAUCUUGUAACUCGUUUUAAUGUUUCAUCCUCUAUAUGGUCCUGAUAGCCCUCGUAAAUAGAGUAAUUAUUGGGCACACGAGUUACGGGGUUCCAUGGACUAGUAAAUGGCGCCAAACAAGUCAACGAUAAUUUGCAUUCUCCACUCACUCCUCCAUCACACGUCUUUAUCGGUUCAAGAUAUUUUAUCAUCUCCACUCUUAACUUAUUCCUGUCAUGAAAUUUUAAAUUUUCUGGUAUAAUAAAAUCAAUUACAAUAACAGGAGUUGAAGAAUAGGAGUCAGAAAAAUAUUGAUUAAGGAAUGGAGAAGAUGUCACCGUAUUUGGAGAUUGUACACUGGAUUCAUUCACUUGGACGGAUUGAUAUUGGGGUCUCAUUUCUUGCACUUCACUUUCCUUUUCAACUACAUCUUUAGAUCCGUUUCCUUGAAACUCUUGCAGUUCCAUGUCAUUCGGCCAGAUAAUUGCACUCCCAUCUUCUUCAAGGUUGAUAUUGGGUUGUGAGGGCAAUUCUUCAAGGUGAGAAGCUAAUCGCUCUAUCCUGGAUGUCAAUUGAUGCACUUGAUCCGCCAGGUUUUUAAGGCUCGCUUGUGUCUCCUGAUGAAAUCGAUAUGUAUUAGUAGCAAAUAAUUCAAUCAAUUCCUGAAGAGACAUACCUGACAUGGAUGAUGGUUGAUGAGACUCUUGCUGUUGAAAACUCAUUGGUCCAGUCGCAUAAUUAAAAUUGGAAUUAUCCCACAAUCCUUGAUCAUACCUGUUUGGGUAAGGGUCAUACCACGUUUGAAAUCGAGGUGAAAAAUCUCCAAAAGUAUCAAUUGGAGCACUUAGAUGAUCUUGAAAUGCGGGACAUGUGUCGGUUGAAUAACCUAAGCCAAAAUAAGUUCCACCAUUUGCAACAGCCCAUUGAUCAUUAGGAAAAUCAUAAGUCUCAUAACCCCAUUCAGGAAUAAAGUCCAGUCUAUCAUCAAAAUAUGGAAUAUUAGCAGCCAUAAACUAUAAAAAAAAAUAGAAAAAUAAAACAAAAAGAAUAUGAAAACAAGAUGAACUAAAAAAGAAACAAAUUAAUCUGGCACCAGUCCCCGCCAACAGCGCCAAAAAUUGACAGGUUGUCGGCCUGUGCAAUAAUAAUUAUCUACUCGAGAAAAAUACAGAUUUUGUAUAUAGCGGUGAGUAGGGUCGAAUCCACAGGGAUUGAGGAUAACUUAUUUCUUUUAGAGUCCGAAGUAUUGGGGGUUUUUUUGAGAAUAGAAAAUAACUAAUUAACUAACUAAUAAAACAACUACUAGAAAUAAAUAGAAAUUAAUCAAUAACCAAUACGACUCUAGCCAAAGAUACAACUUUUCAGACAUGGUCCAUUCAACUGAUCAUCGAUGCAAAGAUAAUUCAAUUACUCAUUACUAGAUUGGUUAUAGUUGUCAUACACGCGAUGAACAGCCAGCCUUUUCUUAAUUUCUCGAUAGCUAAGGUACGACCGUUAACUAUUUCUCUAACCAAGAAAUAACCCUAAGUACAACCGUAGGAUUUAAUUAUUCGAUUGCAUUAAAAAUUAGAAAAACCCAACCCUAACUAACAAACACGCUACGAGGGUUUGUUUAAAUUAGAUCAUACGUUUUUCUAACAUAAAACCAAUCACGCUAGUCGCCACUGGUGUUAAUCAAUUGAACAAUUACAGAUUCAAUCAAUUAAUUUGGCAUUAGAUCAUUAAAUUAAUUCGAAUAUCGGGCCCUUGACAUUUAAAUAACAUAACAAGCAUAAGCAAUUAAAUCAGGAAACGCACAAAUACCAAUAAAUAAAAGAAAUAGGUAAAAUAAUUAGAUCUCACAGAUAUUCAGAACCAAAUCCUCAAAUUGACCUUCGACUAGAAAAAAUGAAUUAGUUCAUCUUCAUGGAGAAAUCCCAUGCAAAAGUGCAGAAGUAAUCCUCUAAAAAAAAGCUAUGUUUCCCUCCUCCUCUUUCAUAGAAGAAAACGGCAAAGCUAUAUAUAUUUCUGAAUACGAAGGAACUAGCAAGGACAAAAACAAAACGAAGUUCUCCUAUUCUAAAACAAAGACUACUUGUCUAGUGGUCCCCGCCAAAUUUAGAGAAAAUAGUGCAAUCCGUCAGAUCAAGCUCUCUAUCGAAUUUUUCUCCUUUUGUUUCCUAUUGCUAAUCAAAGACUCCCAUCAGCACAAAGAAAAGGAAAUCGUUUUCUUCUUCUCCUUGUGGGCCAGCAACUGAAAAAGGCUUCCUUGUAGCACCAUAUGGGGCCCAACUGUUUGAAGUCUCAAUUGUAUAGUGGAAAGUCCCCAUUUUUUUGUAGUUUUCUGCUCCAUUCCCUGAAAUUAAGUCCAGAUACCAUAUAUAACCAAAUAUAAGUAGAUAUUAACAAUUAAAACAAUAUUUGACAGGGACAAAGGGGAAAUUAAUAAUAAAAUAACCAACAAUUAACACCCUAUCAGGGCAAUUCUUCAAGGUGAGACGCUAAUCGCUCUAUCCUGGAUGUCAAUAGUUGCAUUUGAUCUGCCAGGUCACGCAUGCUCGCUUGUGUCUCCUGAUGAAAUCGAUAUGUAUUAGUAGCAAAUAAUUCAAUCAAUUCCUGAAGAGACAUACCUGACAUGAAUGAUGGUUGUUGAGACUCUUGCUAUUGAAAACCCAUUGGCCCGGUCGCAUAAUUAAAACUGGAAUCAUCCCACCAUCCUUGAUCAUACCUGUUUGGGUAAGGGUCAUACCACGUUUGAAAUCCAGGUGAAAAAUCUCCAAAAGUAUCAAUUGGAGCACUUAGAUUAUCUUGAAAUGCGGGGCAUGUGUCGGUUGAAUAACUUGAGGGAAAAUAAGUUCCACAAUUUGCAACGGCCCAUUGAUCAUUAGGAAAAACGCGAGUCUCAUAACCUCAUUCAGGAAUAAAGUCCAGUCUAUCAUCAAAAUACGGAAUAUUAGCAGCCAUAAACUAUAAAAAAAAACAGAAAAAUAAAAUAAAAAAAUAUAUGAAAACAAGAUGAACUCAAAAAGAAACAAAUUAAUCUGGCACCAGUCCCUGGCAACGGCGCCAAAAAUUGACAGGUUAUCAGCCUGUGCAAUAAUAAAACCUGUUCAAACUAAAAGUAAUUUCUGUAGAUAGCGGUAAGUAGGGUCGAAUCCACAGGGACUGGGAGUAAUUGUUCCUUUUCAAAUUCACAGUGACAAGGGGGUGCUUUUAUAUCAGGGGUAACAAUUUAAACAAUUCAACUAAAAGUAAAAUAAUAAAAAUAAAAUAGUCAAUUAGAAAUUAAAUAACAAAUUAUUAAAAUCAAAUGAGCGAUAAUUAAGGAUCUAGCCAAGGAAUAACUUCAGCAAUGGUUCACCUAAUUGAUCAUUGAAACAAAGGCAAUUCCAAUUAUUCACUAAUAAAUAGGUUAUAACUGUCAAACAAGCGAUGACAGUCAACCCCUCCUUAUUGUGUCGGUGACUAAGGUACGCUCGUUAAUCACUAUUCUAAUUGAAAAAUAAUCUUAGGUACGUCCGUAAGAUUUAAUUCCCCAAUUGCCUUAUGUAUUAGAGGAGCCCUAUUCUAAUCAAAUAACACACUACCAGGAUUAUUUUAAGUUAGCCCGCGUAUUCCCCUGACACAAAUCCAAUCAUGCCAGUUAUCACUAUUUUGAGACAAUUAAAUAAUUACGGAUUUAACGUCCUAAUUGACAAUAGAUUAUCAAAUUAACUAAUUAUCCGGAUCCAAGACAAUCAAUUAAUUAAACAAUCAUAAGCACUAUAACCAGGAAAUAUGCGAAUACCAAUAAAUAAAAAAAGGAUAAAAUUAAAUCGAUCUCAUAAUUUUUAGGCGAAUCAAAAUCUCCGUUGCUCAUUGACUAGACAAAGGAAAUUAGUUCAUUCUUGCUGAACAAAGCCCACGCAAAAUUGAAACAAGAGUUGUCUGCUCAUGCGAAAGAAGAAAAACAAUCAAAAGCUACAAAAGGAAAAGUCAAAGGCUGAUGCUUCAUUCCUCAUGCGCAGGGGGCAACCAUAAAAGACGAAAGAGAAAAGUCAAAGAAAGCUAAAGGGAGUUUAUUGUUUUUCCUCCUCAUCCCCAACGAGAGAACUCCUCCUAAAAAGCUAAGAAAGGAAAAAUCAAAGCUACUCUAAUGCUUGGCUCCUGUGCGGCGGCCCUUAGGGAAAAGAAAAAUUCAGCCGUCCUCUCCUCUUCAGUAAUUACCAAAAUGGGCCAAAGUUUUCCUUUGCCAACAAUGCCCCUGGAGUAAGCUUUGCGACUUGGACUCCUUUUCCUGUCAAAUUGGCACUUGUUUUCAUAUUUUUGUUUUAUUUCUUGAAAUAAAUGUAAAAUACUAAAAAUAAGUAGAAUCCAAUGAUAGAACGGUUAUUUGGCAUAUUUUGCACUGUUAUUUUGUCCUAAUUUUGGCUAUUCACGGUGCUAAGAAUUGGAAUUUCACUCAUAUUCGAUAUUUGUGUGAAUUGUAGGUGGUGGGCAUGGAAAAUGAUCUCGCGAGGUAAAUUUCCAGAAGACUUUUCGUCUCAGGGCGUGGCCACGCCUUAGAAGGUGGACGAAAUCGAAAGACGGACCAUGGUCCACGUGAACCGCGAGAAGCACAGGAUUAAAACUCCAAAGGCUUCAAUUAAAAAGCAAAGAAAGGGGUCAGACGUGAAAAGGCUCCUGCGGCGGCUAUAUAAAGAAAAGGAAAGCAAGAUUCAAGAUAACUACUUUUAGCCUAGGUUCUCUUUUUCGACUUUUUGGGGGCAAGAUUUGUCAGACGCUGUUGUUUUUCUUUUGUUUUCUUCGGCGGCUCUGGGUCAGACAUUGGGGGACUUCCUCCUUUGCUGUAGCUUUUGCUCCGGGCUUCUGUACAAUUUUUCCUAUUCGACUUUUGCUUCUACUUUCGCUCCAGGGGUACGAACACGAAACCCAACAAAGGGAAGCAAAGGUUUUUCAGCCGUUCCUUCGUUAAUUCAUCUUUUCCAAUUCUUCGGCAAUUAAUUGAAUGAAUUCAAUUAAAUCACGCGGGAUUGACACGAUGAGGAGCGGCUAAUUUUCUCCUCUACCCAAAGGUUGACGCGAGGGCGCGGUCCAUAAUAUCUAUGAGAUCUAAUCGAAUCUUCAUUAUUUCUUCCAAUUUAUUGCUAUUCGUGCGUUUCCUGAAUUAAUUGAUCAUGGGUAUUUUAUUAAUUGAAUAUCAACGGCCGGGUAUUUGAUUUAAUUUAAUAGUCUACUGCCACGUUAAUUAAAUAGAAUCCGUAAUUGUUCAUUUAGUUAACACCUCGUGGCAACCACCAUAAUUGGUUUUAUGAUGGGGAAACGCAAGAUCUAGCUUAAAUAAACCCUCUUAGCGUGUUUAUUGGUUAGGGUUGGGUUCUUCUAGGUUUAAUGCAAUUGAGUAAUUAAAUUCCUACGGUCGUACCUAGGGUUGUUAUCUGGUUAGGGAAGCAGUCAAUGGUCGUACCUUGACUGUCGAAAAGGUAAGGAAGAAUUGGUUGUCAGAGCUUAUUGAUAACUAUAACCAAUCUAGUGAUGAAUGGAUGAAAUAUCUUUGCAUCGAUGAGCAUUUAUUCGGACCGUGCCUGAACAGUUGAUCCUUUGGGUAGAACUUUUAUUAAUUGCUAUUUUUAGUAAAUUGUGCUUUGUGAGUUAGUUUUGAGUUUUGUUUCUUUUAUUUUUAUUUUUAUUUUCCUCCCAUAAAAAACCCCCCAUACUCUGAACUCUAGAAGAAACGAAUUAUUCCCAAUCCCUGUGGAUUCGACCCUACUCACCGCUAUAUACAAAAUUUGUAAUUUUCUCGAGUAGGUAUUUAUUAUUGUACAGGUUCGACACCUGUCAAUUUUUGGCGCCGUUGCCGGGGACUGGUGCCUGAUUAAUUUGUUUUUUUUUGAGUUCAUUUUUUUUUCUCUUAUUUUUUUUUUGUAUAUAUUUUAUGGCUGCUAACAUUCCGUAUUUUGGUGAUAGAGUGGAUUUUAAUUUUACAAGGGGUUAUGAGACUCAUGCUUUUUCUAAUGAUCAAUGGGCUGUUGCAAAUUGUGGAGCUUAUUUUGCUUCGAAUUUUUCACCCGACAUAUGCCCUGCAUUUCAAGAUGGUCGAAGUACUCCAAUCGAUACUUUUGGGGAUUUUUCACCUCAAUAUCAAACGUGGUACGACCCUUAUUCAAACGGGUAUGAGCAAGGAUGGUGGGAUGAUUCUACUUUUAAUUAUGAACAAAGGCCAAUAGAUUUUCAACAGCUAGAGCCUCAAGAACCGUCAUCCAUGUCAGGUAUGUCUCUUGAAGAAAUAGUUGAAUUAAUAGCGACUAACACAUAUCAAAUUCAACAGGAGACACAUCAAAUUCAACAGGAGACACAUCAAAUUCAACGGGAGACACGUCAAUUUCAACAGGAGACACAAAGAUUGAUUAAAGAGAUGGAAGAUGGAAGGCGUGAAUUGGCAUCUACAAUGAGCAAAUUGAUUUCUCCAUUUUGUGAAGAAUUGCCCUCAGCGACUAUUAUCGACCAUGAAGAAGAUGAGGGUAUAAUUAUCCUGACAAAUGACAUGGAACUGCAAGAGUCUCAUGAAGAAGGAUCUAAAGAUGCAGUUGAAAAGAAAGUUGAAGUGCAAGACAUGAGACCCCAAUAUCAAAUUGUUCAAAUGAAUGAAUCUAAUGAACAAUCUCCAAAUGCGGUGACAUCUCUUCCAUUCCUUAAUCAAUAUUUUCCUGACUCUUAUUCUUUAAUUCCUGUUAGUGAGAUUGAUUUUAUUAUACCGGACGAUUUUGAAUUUCAUGCCAGGAAUAAGUUAAGAGUCAUGAUGACAAAAUAUCUCGAAGCAAUAAGCGCUCGUGAUGGAGGAGUGACUGAAGAUUUAAGGUCAUCACUUGUUUGUUUGGUGCCAUCUACUAAUCCAUGGAAGACCGUAGCUCGUGGACUCAAGAAUUACUCUAUUUACGAGGGCUAUCAGGACUACAUAGAAGAUGAAGCACUGAAACGAGCUACACGAUUUUAUCCUCCGUGAAUAAACAGGACAAUGUCUAGCCAAAGACAUUAAAGAAAGGCUCUGCUUGGGAGGCAACCCAAGGAAUUUUUUGUUUUAGUUUUCUUAUAUUUUUGAAAUUUUUAUUAAGUGUUAGUGUCAUUUAGUGGAUUGUUGUUUUGUGGCAGGAAGCUGGCAGUUGGACAUGCCCACUCUAGUUGAUCAUGCCUAAGGAAUGAAGCUUUGGAAUUGAUGGUCAGAAGACUUUAGCUUCCAAGGCGUGCCCACGCCUUCCAACCCUUCCGAAAAAGAAACUUCAGUCUUCUCCUUCCUGUUGGUGUUGCGUCCGCCGCAACCACACCACCUUGUGCACGCAGCCGUCUCACCCCCCUCCGCCUUAGUAUCUCAUUUUCACUCCCCGGUGGUCAGGGAAGUUUCUCCUCUUUCCUCCUGAUACUUUAUUUGUCUCUUCUACAUUGAGGACAAUGUAGGUCUUAGGUGUGGGGGGAGUGGAUUCCAUUGGUUCUUUUUCAUUAGUUACUCGAAAAAAAGAGAAAAAAAAAACAUGGGUUGAAAAAAAAAAUAAAAAAUGAAAAACAUUGUAGUUAGUCGGCUUUUUGGUUAUUUCUAUGCUUGUUAGUGUUGGGGCAUGUUGCUGUGAUGAAUGACACAAUCAAAGUGAGUGGUUAUGUGGUCGGAUAUGCUAGCUGUGCAUCUUGCUUCCCUUGGCAAUGUCAUUGAAUGUUGAAUAUGUUGGAAUUGACCCAUUUUUGAAACUUUUGGGAGUUUUUGAGCCUUAUAUGAGCACAUUAUUCUUAUUUGCUCUAUUUUUGUUUGAUUGAGUGGGUAUCACACAUGGUAUCGGCAUUCUAGAACUUGCUAUUUUAUACAUGUCGAGACCACAUUUUGUUGAACUGGAUGCAUUUGAAAUGAUAAGGGCAUUUAGGAUUUGACCUUCUUUAACUUUCUAUAAACCAUGCCUUCAUCUUAUUUCCCAAUAGUGAACCAACUUGAGCUUUUAUCCUUUACUUUUGCUUGUUAGCCGUGUUUGAUAACCCAUGACCUUUUUAGACUUUCUUGUUCAAUCUUGUGUCAUUAAGGGAUGUCUGAAAUUCAUUACUUGUGCAAGGCAAAUAAAUCUAUGGGCGCAAGUGUUGUCAAAAAGAUGUUGUAUGGUGCUGUUUCUGUACAUCUGAGAUCGAAAGAAAAGCCAAGAAAAAAAAUAAAGAAAAAAAGGGGAAAAAUUGGCAAAAAGCUGGUGAGCAGAAGACUCUGUCUUCCAGGACGUGCCCACGCCUUGCUAGACGUCCUCUCCAAAAAAAAAAAAAUGAGGAACGAUUUUCGACACUUGCACAAUGAAAACAACAAAUGAAAACGCCCUACUUGCGAAAUUGCCCCGGUAAAGCAUUGUGGUUAUGUAGUGGAUAUUGGACAUUCUCUUGACACAUUACACCCUAUUUUUACCUUCUUAUCCCGCCUUUUAUCUAAACCCCAUUGCAACCCUAUUAAAGUCCCUUUGAUUUGUGUAUUUAGUUCACUUUUGAGUGGUGGAGAUGUGAUAAAUGUGCAAGCCUAUGGUAAUGCAUUCCGUGAUGUUGAAUUGAGCGUUCCUAGUAUUCAUAUAUAUUCUUUGAAUUACAACAUGUCCGGUGUGUUCCACCUUUGGUGAUAUUGUCAGGGACCCUAGAUGCUUGUGUUAGUUUAGACUACUACAUGACCUCUGCUCUCUUGGUUGUACUUCUGAGCUCCGAAAUGCUUGAGGGCAAGCAUUGUCUAGGUGUGGGGGGAUUUGAUAGAACGGUUAUUUGGCGUAUUUUACACUGUUAUUUUGUCCUAAUUUUGGCUAUUCACGGUGCUAAGAAUUGGAAUUUCACUCAUAUUCGAUAUUUGUGUGAAUUGUAGGUGGUAGGCAUGGAAAAUGAUAUCGCGAGAUAAAUUUCCAGAAGACUUUUCGUCUCAGGGCGUGGCCACGCCUUAGAAGGUGGACGAAACCGAAAGACGGACCAUGGUCCACGUGAACCGCGAGAAGCACAGGAUUAAGACUCCAAAGGCUUCAAUUAAAAAGCAAAGAAAGGGGUCAGACGUGAAAAGGCUCCUGCGGCGGCUAUAUAAAGAAAAGGAAAGCAAGAUUCAAGAUAACUACUUUUAGCCUAGGUUCUCUUUUUCGACUUUUUGGGGGCAAGAUUUGUCAGACGCUGUUGUUUUUCUUUUGUUUUCUUCGGCGGCUCUGGGUCAGACAUUGGGGGACUUCCUCCUUUGCUGUAGCUUUUGCUCCGGGCUUCUGUACAAUUUUUCCUAUUCGACUUUUGCUUCUACUUUCGCUCCAGGGGUACGAACACGAAACCCAACAAAGGGAAGCAAAGGUUUUUCAGCCGUUCCUUCGUUAAUUCAUCUUUUCCAAUUCUUCGGCAAUUAAUUGAAUGAAUUCAAUUAAAUCACGCGGGAUUGACACGAUGAGGAGCGGCUAAUUUUCUCCUCUACCCAAAGGUUGACGCGAGGGCGCGGUCCAUAAUAUCUAUGAGAUCUAAUCGAAUCUUCAUUAUUUCUUCCAAUUUAUUGCUAUUCGUGCGUUUCCUGAAUUAAUUGAUCAUGGGUAUUUUAUUAAUUGAAUAUCAACGGCCGGGUAUUUGAUUUAAUUUAAUAGUCUACUGCCACGUUAAUUAAAUAGAAUCCGUAAUUGUUCAUUUAGUUAACACCUCGUGGCAACCACCAUAAUUGGUUUUAUGAUGGGGAAACGCAAGAUCUAGCUUAAAUAAACCCUCUUAGCGUGUUUAUUGGUUAGGGUUGGGUUCUUCUAGGUUUAAUGCAAUUGAGUAAUUAAAUUCCUACGGUCGUACCUAGGGUUGUUAUCUGGUUAGGGAAGCAGUCAAUGGUCGUACCUUGACUGUCGAAAAGGUAAGGAAGAAUUGGUUGUCAGAGCUUAUUGAUAACUAUAACCAAUCUAGUGAUGAAUGGAUGAAAUAUCUUUGCAUCGAUGAGCAUUUAUUCGGACCGUGCCUGAACAGUUGAUCCUUUGGGUAGAACUUUUAUUAAUUGCUAUUUUUAGUAAAUUGUGCUUUGUGAGUUAGUUUUGAGUUUUGUUUCUUUUAUUUUUAUUUUUAUUUUCCUCCCAUAAAAAACCCCCCAUACUCUGAACUCUAGAAGAAACGAAUUAUUCCCAAUCCCUGUGGAUUCGACCCUACUCACCGCUAUAUACAAAAUUUGUAAUUUUCUCGAGUAGGUAUUUAUUAUUGUACAGGUUCGACACCUGUCAAUUUUUGGCGCCGUUGCCGGGGACUGGUGCCUGAUUAAUUUGUUUUUUUUUGAGUUCAUUUUUUUUUCUCUUAUUUUUUUUUUGUAUAUAUUUUAUGGCUGCUAACAUUCCGUAUUUUGGUGAUAGAGUGGAUUUUAAUUUUACAAGGGGUUAUGAGACUCAUGCUUUUUCUAAUGAUCAAUGGGCUGUUGCAAAUUGUGGAGCUUAUUUUGCUUCGAAUUUUUCACCCGACAUAUGCCCUGCAUUUCAAGAUGGUCGAAGUACUCCAAUCGAUACUUUUGGGGAUUUUUCACCUCAAUAUCAAACGUGGUACGACCCUUAUUCAAACGGGUAUGAGCAAGGAUGGUGGGAUGAUUCUACUUUUAAUUAUGAACAAAGGCCAAUAGAUUUUCAACAGCUAGAGCCUCAAGAACCGUCAUCCAUGUCAGGUAUGUCUCUUGAAGAAAUAGUUGAAUUAAUAGCGACUAACACAUAUCAAAUUCAACAGGAGACACAUCAAAUUCAACAGGAGACACAUCAAAUUCAACGGGAGACACGUCAAUUUCAACAGGAGACACAAAGAUUGAUUAAAGAGAUGGAAGAUGGAAGGCGUGAAUUGGCAUCUACAAUGAGCAAAUUGAUUUCUCCAUUUUGUGAAGAAUUGCCCUCAGCGACUAUUAUCGACCAUGAAGAAGAUGAGGGUAUAAUUAUCCUGACAAAUGACAUGGAACUGCAAGAGUCUCAUGAACAAGGAUCUAAAGAUGCAGUUGAAAAGAAAGUUGAAGUGCAAGACAUGAGACCCCAAUAUCAAAUUGUUCAAAUGAAUGAAUCUAAUGAACAAUCUCCAAAUGCGGUGACAUCUCUUCCAUUCCUUAAUCAAUAUUUUCCUGACUCUUAUUCUUUAAUUCCUGUUAGUGAGAUUGAUUUUAUUAUACCGGACGAUUUUGAAUUUCAUGCCAGGAAUAAGUUAAGAGUCAUGAUGACAAAAUAUCUCGAAGCAAUAAGCGCUCGUGAUGGAGGAGUGACUGAAGAUUUAAGGUCAUCACUUGUUUGUUUGGUGCCAUCUACUAAUCCAUGGAAGACCGUAGCUCGUGGACUCAAGAAUUACUCUAUUUACGAGGGCUAUCAGGACUACAUAGAAGAUGAAGCACUGAAACGAGCUACACGAUUUUAUCCUCCGUGAAUAAACAGGACAAUGUCUAGCCAAAGACAUUAAAGAAAGGCUCUGCUUGGGAGGCAACCCAAGGAAUUUUUUGUUUUAGUUUUCUUAUAUUUUUGAAAUUUUUAUUAAGUGUUAGUGUCAUUUAGUGGAUUGUUGUUUUGUGGCAGGAAGCUGGCAGUUGGACAUGCCCACUCUAGUUGAUCAUGCCUAAGGAAUGAAGCUUUGGAAUUGAUGGUCAGAAGACUCUAGCUUCCAAGGCGUGCCCACGCCUUCCAACCCUUCCGAAAAAGAAACUUCAGUCUUCUCCUUCCUGUUGGUGUUGCGUCCGCCGCAACCACACCACCUUGUGCACGCAGCCGUCUCACCCCCCUCCGCCUUAGUAUCUCAUUUUCACUCCCCGGUGGUCAGGGAAGUUUCUCCUCUUUCCUCCUGAUACUUUAUUUGUCUCUUCUACAUUGAGGACAAUGUAGGUCUUAGGUGUGGGGGGAGUGGAUUCCAUUGGUUCUUUUUCAUUAGUUACUCGAAAAAAAGAGAAAAAAAAAACAUGGGUUGAAAAAAAAAAUAAAAAAUGAAAAACAUUGUAGUUAGUCGGCUUUUUGGUUAUUUCUAUGCUUGUUAGUGUUGGGGCAUGUUGCUGUGAUGAAUGACACAAUCAAAGUGAGUGGUUAUGUGGUCGGAUAUGCUAGCUGUGCAUCUUGCUUCCCUUGGCAAUGUCAUUGAAUGUUGAAUAUGUUGGAAUUGACCCAUUUUUGAAACUUUUGGGAGUUUUUGAGCCUUAUAUGAGCACAUUAUUCUUAUUUGCUCUAUUUUUGUUUGAUUGAGUGGGUAUCACACAUGGUAUCGGCAUUCUAGAACUUGCUAUUUUAUACAUGUCGAGACCACAUUUUGUUGAACUGGAUGCAUUUGAAAUGAUAAGGGCAUUUAGGAUUUGACCUUCUUUAACUUUCUAUAAACCAUGCCUUCAUCUUAUUUCCCAAUAGUGAACCAACUUGAGCUUUUAUCCUUUACUUUUGCUUGUUAGCCGUGUUUGAUAACCCAUGACCUUUUUAGACUUUCUUGUUCAAUCUUGUGUCAUUAAGGGAUGUCUGAAAUUCAUUACUUGUGCAAGGCAAAUAAAUCUAUGGGCGCAAGUGUUGUCAAAAAGAUGUUGUAUGGUGCUGUUUCUGUACAUCUGAGAUCGAAAGAAAAGCCAAGAAAAAAAAUAAAGAAAAAAAGGGGAAAAAUUGGCAAAAAGCUGGUGAGCAGAAGACUCUGUCUUCCAGGACGUGCCCACGCCUUGCUAGACGUCCUCUCCAAAAAAAAAAAAAUGAGGAACGAUUUUCGACACUUGCACAAUGAAAACAACAAAUGAAAACGCCCUACUUGCGAAAUUGCCCCGGUAAAGCAUUGUGGUUAUGUAGUGGAUAUUGGACAUUCUCUUGACACAUUACACCCUAUUUUUACCUUCUUAUCCCGCCUUUUAUCUAAACCCCAUUGCAACCCUAUUAAAGUCCCUUUGAUUUGUGUAUUUAGUUCACUUUUGAGUGGUGGAGAUGUGAUAAAUGUGCAAGCCUAUGGUAAUGCAUUCCGUGAUGUUGAAUUGAGCGUUCCUAGUAUUCAUAUAUAUUCUUUGAAUUACAACAUGUCCGGUGUGUUCCACCUUUGGUGAUAUUGUCAGGGACCCUAGAUGCUUGUGUUAGUUUAGACUACUACAUGACCUCUGCUCUCUUGGUUGUACUUCUGAGCUCCGAAAUGCUUGAGGGCAAGCAUUGUCUAGGUGUGGGGGGAUUUGAUAGAACGGUUAUUUGGCGUAUUUUGCACUGUUAUUUUGUCCUAAUUUUGGCUAUUCACGGUGCUAAGAAUUGGAAUUUCACUCAUAUUCGAUAUUUGUGUGAAUUGUAGGUGGUAGGCAUGGAAAAUGAUCUCGCGAGAUAAAUUUCCAGAAGACUUUUCGUCUCAGGGCGUGGCCACGCCUUAGAAGGUGGACGAAACCGAAAGACGGACCAUGGUCCACGUGAACCGCGAGAAGCACAGGAUUAAGACUCCAAAGGCUUCAAUUAAAAAGCAAAGAAAGGGGUCAGACGUGAAAAGGCUCCUGCGGCGGCUUUAUAAAGAAAAGGAAAGCAAGAUUCAAGAUAACUACUUUUAGCCUAGGUUCUCUUUUUCGACUUUUUGGGGGCAAGAUUUGUCAGACGCUGUUGUUUUUCUUUUGUUUUCUUCGGCGGCUCUGGGUCAGACAUUGGGGGACUUCCUCCUUUGCUGUAGCUUUUGCUCCGGGCUUCUGUACAAUUUUUCCUAUUCGACUUUUGCUUCUACUUUCGCUCCAGGGGUACGAACACGAAACCCAACAAAGGGAAGCAAAGGUUUUUCAGCCGUUCCUUCGUUAAUUCAUCUUUUCCAAUUCUUCGGCAAUUAAUUGAAUGAAUUCAAUUAAAUCACGCGGGAUUGACACGAUGAGGAGCGGCUAAUUUUCUCCUCUACCCAAAGGUUGACGCGAGGGCGCGGUCCAUAAUAUCUGUGAGAUCUAAUCGAAUCUUCAUUAUUUCUUCCAAUUUAUUGCUAUUCGUGCGUUUCCUGAAUUAAUUGAUCAUGGGUAUUUUAUUAAUUGAAUAUCAACGGCCGGGUAUUUGAUUUAAUUUAAUAGUCUACUGCCACGUUAAUUAAAUAGAAUCCGUAAUUGUUCAUUUAGUUAACACCUCGUGGCAACCACCAUAAUUGGUUUUAUGAUGGGGAAACGCAAGAUCUAGCUUAAAUAAACCCUCUUAGCGUGUUUAUUGGUUAGGGUUGGGUUCUUCUAGGUUUAAUGCAAUUGGGUAAUUAAAUUCCUACGGUCGUACCUAGGGUUGUUAUCUGGUUAGGGAAGCAGUCAAUGGUCGUACCUUAACUGUCGAAAAGGUAAGGAAGAAUUGGUUGUCAGAGCUUAUUGAUAACUAUAACCAAUCUAGUGAUGAAUGGAUGAAAUAUCUUUGCAUCGAUGAGCAUUUAUUCGGACCGUGCCUGAACAGUUGAUCCUUUGGGUAGAACUUUUAUUAAUUGCUAUUUUUAGUAAAUUGUGCUUUGUGAGUUAGUUUUGAAUUUUGUUUUUUUUAUUUUUAUUUUUAUUUUCCUCCCAUCAAAAACCCCCCAUACUCUGAACUCUAGAAGAAACGAAUUAUUCCCAGUCCCUGUGGAUUCGACCCUACUCACCGCUAUAUACAAAAUUUAUAAUUUUCUUGAGUAGGUAUUUAUUAUUGUACAGGCUCGACACCUGUCAAUUUUUGGCGCCGUUGCCGGGGACUGGUGCCUGAUUAAUUUGUUUUUUUUUGAGUUCAUUUUUUUUUCUCUUAUUUUUUUUUGUAUAUAUUUUAUGGCUGCUAACAUUCCGUAUUUUGGUGAUAGACUGGAUUUUAAUUUUACAAGGGGUUAUGAGACUCAUGCUUUUUCUAAUGAUCAAUGGGCUGUUGCAAAUUGUGGAGCUUAUUUUGCUUCGAAUUUUUCACCCGACAUAUGCCCUGCAUUUCAAGAUGGUCGAAGUACUCCAAUCGAUACUUUUGGGGAUUUUUCACCUCAAUAUCAAACGUGGUAUGACCCUUAUUCAAACGGGUAUGAGCAAGGAUGGUGGGAUGAUUCUACUUUUAAUUAUGAACAAAGGCCAAUAGAUUUUCAACAGCUAGAGCCUCAAGAACCGUCAUCCAUGUCAGGUAUGUCUCUUGAAAAAAUAGUUGAAUUAAUAGCGACUAACACAUAUCAAAUUCAACAGGAGACACAUCAAAUUCAACAGGAGACACAUCAAAUUCAACGGGAGACACGUCAAUUUCAACAGGAGACACAAAGAUUGAUUAAAGAGAUGGAAGAUGGAAGGCGUGAAUUGGCAUCUACAAUGAGCAAAUUGAUUUCUCCAUUUUGUGAAGAAUUGCCCUCAGCGACUAUUAUCGACCAUGAAGAAGAUGAGGGUAUAAUUAUCCUGACAAAUGACAUGGAACUGCAAGAGUCUCAUGAACAAGGAUCUAAAGAUGCAGUUGAAAAGAAAGUUGAAGUGCAAGACAUGAGACCCCAAUAUCAAAUUGUUCAAAUGAAUGAAUCUAAUGAACAAUCUCCAAAUGCGGUGACAUCUCUUCCAUUCCUUAAUCAAUAUUUUCCUGACUCUUAUUCUUUAAUUCCUGUUAGUGAGAUUGAUUUUAUUAUACCGGACGAUUUUGAAUUUCAUGCCAGGAAUAAGUUAAGAGUCAUGAUGACAAAAUAUCUCGAAGCAAUAAGCGCUCGUGAUGGAGGAGUGACUGAAGAUUUAAGGUCAUCACUUGUUUGUUUGGUGCCAUCUACUAAUCCAUGGAAGACCGUAGCUCGUGGACUCAAGAAUUACUCUAUUUACGAGGGCUAUCAGGACUACAUAGAAGAUGAAGCACUGAAACGAGCUACACGAUUUUAUCCUCCGUGAAUAAACAGGACAAUGUCUAGCCAAAGACAUUAAAGAAAGGCUCUGCUUGGGAGGCAACCCAAGGAAUUUUUUGUUUUAGUUUUCUUAUAUUUUUGAAAUUUUUAUUAAGUGUUAGUGUCAUUUAGUGGAUUGUUGUUUUGUGGCAGGAAGCUGGCAGUUGGACAUGCCCACUCUAGUUGAUCAUGCCUAAGGAAUGAAGCUUUGGAAUUGAUGGUCAGAAGACUCUAGCUUCCAAGGCGUGCCCACGCCUUCCAACCCUUCCGAAAAAGAAACUUCAGUCUUCUCCUUCCUGUUGGUGUUGCGUCCGCCGCAACCACACCACCUAUUCUAAAACAAAGACUACUUGUCUAGUGGUCCCCGCCGAAUUUAGAGAAAAGGGUGCAAUCCGUCAGAUCAAGCUCUCUACCGAAUUUUUCUCCUUUUGUUUCCUAUUGCUAAUCAAAGACUCCCAUCAGCACAAAGAAAAGGAAAUCGUUUUCUUCUUCUCCUUGUGGGCCAGCAACCGAAAAAGGCUUCCUUGUAGCACCAUAUGGGGCCCAACUGUUUGAAAUCUCAAUUGUAUAGUGGAAAGUCCCUCAUUUUUUGUAGUUUUCUGCUCCAUUCUCUGAAAUUAAGUCCAGAUACCAUAUAUAACCAAAUAUAAGUAGAUAUUAACAAUUAAAACAAUAUUUGACAGGGACAAAGGGGAAAUUAAUAAUAAAAUAACCAACAAUUAAUACCCUAUCAAUUCCCCCCACACCUAAAUCAUGCUUGCCCUCAAGCAUGAGAACAGCAAUUGAAUAUCAAAAUUUGACAAUGGCUAUUGCUCCAACUACCGUAUUGCCAAGAUACCCAGAAAAACAUAUAUCAAGCAUCACAGGUCAAGAUCAAAGAAAAUCACCCCGGUUAGCUUCCCAACCACCAACUUCUCCAAUUUAAAACAAACUAAUCUAAGAAAAAGGAAUGGUUGCUCAUAUUUAUCAGCAAAUGGUCCAACUAUUAACCAAAAUCUCAACAUUAAACCCAUAAAAUGGCAAGCUGACUUUUAUCACAUUUUCUAUUUUUUUUUCUUUUCAAUAGCAACUAAUGACUUAAUCUCUAGCCAUUGGAACCUUUUGACUCGAACUCCAACAUUUGUCAAAUGAAGGAGCCCGGUUACUCAGCUCCAAUCGCUACGGGACCACGCACUCAUAGUAGCUACUACCUUUUGACGCGAGAAUCGACACUUUAGGUGAAGAUCCCCGGUUACUCAGUAGUAACAACUAGUGGAGUAUAGUCACCUCUUAUUUACAAUCAUAUAGCACAAUAACUAAAAAAAAUAACACAAAAAUAACAGCAGCCAACCUAAAAUUUCUAACCAUGGAGAACUAAAAUUAAUAACUGGACCAAUUCACAUGAAAAAUGCCAACAAUCAUUCCCUAUGCCUAGAAAAGUUAACCAAAAAUUCGAAAAGUUAAGCAAUUAUUGAUAUUCACCAAAGAGAUGUUCCUGAACUCAACCACAUUAACUUGAUACCUUUUUAUCACUAAAACUUGGCAAUAUCAGAAUUAGAGACAACAAUCCAGCAUCAAACUUGGUAUCAUAUGAAGACCGACCACUAGAAAAAAAAAGAAAAGAAAAUAAACGAAAAAGGAGAUAAAUAUCAAACUAAAACAAAGGAAAAACCCCUAGAACCUAAAAACUAAAAAUACUAGCACCCAAACUGAUCUCCCCCCUACACCUAAAUGACACAUUGCCCUCAAUAUGAUAAUGUAAAAGCAGAAGGAAGGAGAGGGCGACGGUACUUCACUGGAGUCAUCAAAAUAGGGGCAGUUCAGGUGGAAAUUGUGGAUCAACUCGCAUCUGGAGCUAGUGCCAUUCGUGGCUUCACCAUGGACUCUAGACAUCACUUUAAGCAACAAGAGACUACAAUUGCCAACAAAUAAUGGAAGCCGGAAAUUCAAAGCAAUAACAAUUUCAAAGCCAACCCAACGAAUAAAAUGCACAAUUCAACCACCCAGAGGACAUACAAAUACUCCAACACUUAUAGCAAUGGCAAUCAAUAAGCACUUGCGGUCCCAAUGUUGUCAAUUUCAGAAUCAAUGCAGUCCAAAAGUGCAACAAAUGCUCCAAAGAUGUAGGACUUGAAUUUAAGAGACAGAGUACCCCAACCAAGUCAAUUAGGCACAAUCGAUCAGCAAUAAGUAAAGGAAGGGGCACAGUAGCCUUCCAAUUCAACAAACAGACGCAGAAAGUACCCCACAAUACCAGAGGACAGCUCCCAACAAUGCACCAAAACAACAAGUCUAACGAAAUGAGAGUGGUGCCACUAGCUAAUCUAAAGAACAAAUUUCAGCACCGGGACACAAUGCCACCCAAAAUCUCAACAACUGUCUCCAAUUGGACAGGCAAAUACCCAAUUAAACCUACCAAAAGUAGCAAAUGACCCAAGAAACCGACAAAACCAACAAAAGUAGUUCAAAAGUUGGAUAGAAACAACUCAAUCACAAAUGCUCAGCAGUCACAACUCGAUCAAUUAGGCAACCAAUAACCCAGGAUUGACAAAUGUUAAAACAACUUCCAUCGCCAGUGCCACUGGUGAAUGCACAGGGAAAAACUAAAUCAAAUAGCCAACUCAAAUUUGAUCCUCACAGAUGAAAAUAGAGGCCUCAAGUAGGCAAAACCAAAUCAAUGCUCAACAAUGGAAUCAAUACUAGAGAAUACCCCCAAAUGGAGCAGCAAAUAAACUUAGUUCCACCAAAAUUAACCCAAGAAAAUGCCUAAAUCACCCCCUGCUUUCAGCUAUCAAGAAACCCAUGAAACAAAAGCUCAAAUUCCAGCAAUAGAAGAACCAGACAAAUACUAAUCGAGGUGGAAGAGUCAAUACCUCCACCUGUCAAAUUGGACAGGUGGGAAUGGCGUGACAGUGGGUGGCGUGAGCAGCGGGGCAGCGGCGGCCGGCGAGCUAGGUACGGCUGGGCAGAGCUAUCGGCGAGCUUUGGAGCUGCUGGUGCGUGUGGUGGUGAGCUGGUGAGUGGAGACAGCGGCGAAGAGGGUGGCGGCGGGUUGAGGCAGAGGGGUGCAAGCUGGUGGUGGAGAGAGGAGGCCACGGCGCGCUUGAGAGCUGGCGGUGCUCGCGUGGUGGUGGACCGUGAGGCUGAGAGAGAAACGACCAGGAGAGAGGGAGAAAGCGAGAAGGGGACGGCGUGGGCUGCUGGUGGAGCGGAGGUGGAGCUGGUGAGCGCGAGGUUGGCGGGCAAGAGGUAGCCGUGACGUGCGAGGUAGAGGAGAGAGGCAGCGGCGUGAAAGAAAAAGAAGAAAAAAAGGGAAACAGGGGAGCGGCGGAGAAGAAGAAGAAAAGGAAAGGAAAGAAAGAAAAGAAAGGAAGAAAGAAAAAAAAUAGUUUUUGGGUUUUUUGUUUUCAAUGAUUUUUCCAAAUUUUUUUCCGAAUUUAAUUUUUCAAAAUUUGAAUUUUUGAAGAAAAAGAAAAGAAAAAAAUGUUUUUUUUUAAAAAUUUUUGAAUUUUUUUUCAAUGUGAAUUUAAAAAAAAAAUUUUUGAAUUCAUUUUUGGGUCGUCAAACACCGUGUGGGCACGCCAAGAUUAUAAAACGUCCACUGAUCUCAGGAGACACAAACACCGCGUGGGCACGCCAAGAUUGGUAAACGUCCACUGAUCUCAGGAGUCACAAACACCGCAUGAGCUGGCCAAGAUUGCACUUCCUGGUCACAGUGAAGAAAAAUAUCAAGAUCGACUACUACCCAAAUGAGAAACAACAAAACGAAAGAAUUGAACAACGAAAAACAAUAAAAUCAAUAUUUGGGUUGCCUCCCAAAAAGCGCCUUUCUUUUAUGUUUUUGGCUAGACAUUGUCAUAUUUGUUCAGGGAAGAUAAAAUCUUGUAACUCGUUUUAAUGUUUCAUCCUCUAUAUGGUCCUGAUAGCCCUCGUAAAUAGAGUAAUUAUUGGGCACACGAGUUACGGGGUUCCAUGGACUAGUAAAUGGCGCCAAACAAGUCAACGAUAAUUUGCAUUCUCCACUCACUCCUCCAUCACACGUCUUUAUCGGUUCAAGAUAUUUUAUCAUCUCCACUCUUAACUUAUUCCUGUCAUGAAAUUUUAAAUUUUCUGGUAUAAUAAAAUCAAUUACAAUAACAGGAGUUGAAGAAUAGGAGUCAGAAAAAUAUUGAUUAAGGAAUGGAGAAGAUGUCACCGUAUUUGGAGAUUGUACACUGGAUUCAUUCACUUGGACGGAUUGAUAUUGGGGUCUCAUUUCUUGCACUUCACUUUCCUUUUCAACUACAUCUUUAGAUCCGUUUCCUUGAAACUCUUGCAGUUCCAUGUCAUUCGGCCAGAUAAUUGCACUCCCAUCUUCUUCAAGGUUGAUAUUGGGUUGUGAGGGCAAUUCUUCAAGGUGAGAAGCUAAUCGCUCUAUCCUGGAUGUCAAUUGAUGCACUUGAUCCGCCAGGUUUUUAAGGCUCGCUUGUGUCUCCUGAUGAAAUCGAUAUGUAUUAGUAGCAAAUAAUUCAAUCAAUUCCUGAAGAGACAUACCUGACAUGGAUGAUGGUUGAUGAGACUCUUGCUGUUGAAAACUCAUUGGUCCAGUCGCAUAAUUAAAAUUGGAAUUAUCCCACAAUCCUUGAUCAUACCUGUUUGGGUAAGGGUCAUACCACGUUUGAAAUCGAGGUGAAAAAUCUCCAAAAGUAUCAAUUGGAGCACUUAGAUGAUCUUGAAAUGCGGGACAUGUGUCGGUUGAAUAACCUAAGCCAAAAUAAGUUCCACCAUUUGCAACAGCCCAUUGAUCAUUAGGAAAAUCAUAAGUCUCAUAACCCCAUUCAGGAAUAAAGUCCAGUCUAUCAUCAAAAUAUGGAAUAUUAGCAGCCAUAAACUAUAAAAAAAAAUAGAAAAAUAAAACAAAAAGAAUAUGAAAACAAGAUGAACUAAAAAAGAAACAAAUUAAUCUGGCACCAGUCCCCGCCAACAGCGCCAAAAAUUGACAGGUUGUCGGCCUGUGCAAUAAUAAUUAUCUACUCGAGAAAAAUACAGAUUUUGUAUAUAGCGGUGAGUAGGGUCGAAUCCACAGGGAUUGAGGAUAACUUAUUUCUUUUAGAGUCCGAAGUAUUGGGGGUUUUUUUGAGAAUAGAAAAUAACUAAUUAACUAACUAAUAAAACAACUACUAGAAAUAAAUAGAAAUUAAUCAAUAACCAAUACGACUCUAGCCAAAGAUACAACUUUUCAGACAUGGUCCAUUCAACUGAUCAUCGAUGCAAAGAUAAUUCAAUUACUCAUUACUAGAUUGGUUAUAGUUGUCAUACACGCGAUGAACAGCCAGCCUUUUCUUAAUUUCUCGAUAGCUAAGGUACGACCGUUAACUAUUUCUCUAACCAAGAAAUAACCCUAAGUACAACCGUAGGAUUUAAUUAUUCGAUUGCAUUAAAAAUUAGAAAAACCCAACCCUAACUAACAAACACGCUACGAGGGUUUGUUUAAAUUAGAUCAUACGUUUUUCUAACAUAAAACCAAUCACGCUAGUCGCCACUGGUGUUAAUCAAUUGAACAAUUACAGAUUCAAUCAAUUAAUUUGGCAUUAGAUCAUUAAAUUAAUUCGAAUAUCGGGCCCUUGACAUUUAAAUAACAUAACAAGCAUAAGCAAUUAAAUCAGGAAACGCACAAAUACCAAUAAAUAAAAGAAAUAGGUAAAAUAAUUAGAUCUCACAGAUAUUCAGAACCAAAUCCUCAAAUUGACCUUCGACUAGAAAAAAUGAAUUAGUUCAUCUUCAUGGAGAAAUCCCAUGCAAAAGUGCAGAAGUAAUCCUCUAAAAAAAAGCUAUGUUUCCCUCCUCCUCUUUCAUAGAAGAAAACGGCAAAGCUAUAUAUAUUUCUGAAUACGAAGGAACUAGCAAGGACAAAAACAAAACGAAGUUCUCCUAUUCUAAAACAAAGACUACUUGUCUAGUGGUCCCCGCCAAAUUUAGAGAAAAUAGUGCAAUCCGUCAGAUCAAGCUCUCUAUCGAAUUUUUCUCCUUUUGUUUCCUAUUGCUAAUCAAAGACUCCCAUCAGCACAAAGAAAAGGAAAUCGUUUUCUUCUUCUCCUUGUGGGCCAGCAACUGAAAAAGGCUUCCUUGUAGCACCAUAUGGGGCCCAACUGUUUGAAGUCUCAAUUGUAUAGUGGAAAGUCCCCAUUUUUUUGUAGUUUUCUGCUCCAUUCCCUGAAAUUAAGUCCAGAUACCAUAUAUAACCAAAUAUAAGUAGAUAUUAACAAUUAAAACAAUAUUUGACAGGGACAAAGGGGAAAUUAAUAAUAAAAUAACCAACAAUUAACACCCUAUCAGGGCAAUUCUUCAAGGUGAGACGCUAAUCGCUCUAUCCUGGAUGUCAAUAGUUGCAUUUGAUCUGCCAGGUCACGCAUGCUCGCUUGUGUCUCCUGAUGAAAUCGAUAUGUAUUAGUAGCAAAUAAUUCAAUCAAUUCCUGAAGAGACAUACCUGACAUGAAUGAUGGUUGUUGAGACUCUUGCUAUUGAAAACCCAUUGGCCCGGUCGCAUAAUUAAAACUGGAAUCAUCCCACCAUCCUUGAUCAUACCUGUUUGGGUAAGGGUCAUACCACGUUUGAAAUCCAGGUGAAAAAUCUCCAAAAGUAUCAAUUGGAGCACUUAGAUUAUCUUGAAAUGCGGGGCAUGUGUCGGUUGAAUAACUUGAGGGAAAAUAAGUUCCACAAUUUGCAACGGCCCAUUGAUCAUUAGGAAAAACGCGAGUCUCAUAACCUCAUUCAGGAAUAAAGUCCAGUCUAUCAUCAAAAUACGGAAUAUUAGCAGCCAUAAACUAUAAAAAAAAACAGAAAAAUAAAAUAAAAAAAUAUAUGAAAACAAGAUGAACUCAAAAAGAAACAAAUUAAUCUGGCACCAGUCCCUGGCAACGGCGCCAAAAAUUGACAGGUUAUCAGCCUGUGCAAUAAUAAAACCUGUUCAAACUAAAAGUAAUUUCUGUAGAUAGCGGUAAGUAGGGUCGAAUCCACAGGGACUGGGAGUAAUUGUUCCUUUUCAAAUUCACAGUGACAAGGGGGUGCUUUUAUAUCAGGGGUAACAAUUUAAACAAUUCAACUAAAAGUAAAAUAAUAAAAAUAAAAUAGUCAAUUAGAAAUUAAAUAACAAAUUAUUAAAAUCAAAUGAGCGAUAAUUAAGGAUCUAGCCAAGGAAUAACUUCAGCAAUGGUUCACCUAAUUGAUCAUUGAAACAAAGGCAAUUCCAAUUAUUCACUAAUAAAUAGGUUAUAACUGUCAAACAAGCGAUGACAGUCAACCCCUCCUUAUUGUGUCGGUGACUAAGGUACGCUCGUUAAUCACUAUUCUAAUUGAAAAAUAAUCUUAGGUACGUCCGUAAGAUUUAAUUCCCCAAUUGCCUUAUGUAUUAGAGGAGCCCUAUUCUAAUCAAAUAACACACUACCAGGAUUAUUUUAAGUUAGCCCGCGUAUUCCCCUGACACAAAUCCAAUCAUGCCAGUUAUCACUAUUUUGAGACAAUUAAAUAAUUACGGAUUUAACGUCCUAAUUGACAAUAGAUUAUCAAAUUAACUAAUUAUCCGGAUCCAAGACAAUCAAUUAAUUAAACAAUCAUAAGCACUAUAACCAGGAAAUAUGCGAAUACCAAUAAAUAAAAAAAGGAUAAAAUUAAAUCGAUCUCAUAAUUUUUAGGCGAAUCAAAAUCUCCGUUGCUCAUUGACUAGACAAAGGAAAUUAGUUCAUUCUUGCUGAACAAAGCCCACGUAAAAUUGAAACAAGAGUUGUCUGCUCAUGCGAAAGAAGAAAAACAAUCAAAAGCUACAAAAGGAAAAGUCAAAGGCUGAUGCUUCAUUCCUCAAGCGCAGGGGGCAACCAUAAAAGACGAAAGAGAAAAGUCAAAGAAAGCUAAAGGGAGUUUAUUGUUUUUCCUCCUCAUCCCCAACGAGAGAACUCCUCCUAAAAAGCUAAGAAAGGAAAAAUCAAAGCUACUCUAAUGCUUGGCUCCUGUGCGGCGGCCCUUAGGGAAAAGAAAAAUUCAGCCGUCCUCUCCUCUUCAGUAAUUACCAAAAUGGGCCAAAGUUUUCCUUUGCCAACAAUGCCCCUGGAGUAAGCUUUGCGACUUGGACUCCUUUUCCUGUCAAAUUGGCACUUGUUUUCAUAUUUUUGUUUUAUUUCUUGAAAUAAAUGUAAAAUACUAAAAAUAAGUAGAAUCCAAUGAUAGAACGGUUAUUUGGCAUAUUUUGCACUGUUAUUUUGUCCUAAUUUUGGCUAUUCACGGUGCUAAGAAUUGGAAUUUCACUCAUAUUCGAUAUUUGUGUGAAUUGUAGGUGGUGGGCAUGGAAAAUGAUCUCGCGAGGUAAAUUUCCAGAAGACUUUUCGUCUCAGGGCGUGGCCACGCCUUAGAAGGUGGACGAAAUCGAAAGACGGACCAUGGUCCACGUGAACCGCGAGAAGCACAGGAUUAAAACUCCAAAGGCUUCAAUUAAAAAGCAAAGAAAGGGGUCAGACGUGAAAAGGCUCCUGCGGCGGCUAUAUAAAGAAAAGGAAAGCAAGAUUCAAGAUAACUACUUUUAGCCUAGGUUCUCUUUUUCGACUUUUUGGGGGCAAGAUUUGUCAGACGCUGUUGUUUUUCUUUUGUUUUCUUCGGCGGCUCUGGGUCAGACAUUGGGGGACUUCCUCCUUUGCUGUAGCUUUUGCUCCGGGCUUCUGUACAAUUUUUCCUAUUCGACUUUUGCUUCUACUUUCGCUCCAGGGGUACGAACACGAAACCCAACAAAGGGAAGCAAAGGUUUUUCAGCCGUUCCUUCGUUAAUUCAUCUUUUCCAAUUCUUCGGCAAUUAAUUGAAUGAAUUCAAUUAAAUCACGCGGGAUUGACACGAUGAGGAGCGGCUAAUUUUCUCCUCUACCCAAAGGUUGACGCGAGGGCGCGGUCCAUAAUAUCUAUGAGAUCUAAUCGAAUCUUCAUUAUUUCUUCCAAUUUAUUGCUAUUCGUGCGUUUCCUGAAUUAAUUGAUCAUGGGUAUUUUAUUAAUUGAAUAUCAACGGCCGGGUAUUUGAUUUAAUUUAAUAGUCUACUGCCACGUUAAUUAAAUAGAAUCCGUAAUUGUUCAUUUAGUUAACACCUCGUGGCAACCACCAUAAUUGGUUUUAUGAUGGGGAAACGCAAGAUCUAGCUUAAAUAAACCCUCUUAGCGUGUUUAUUGGUUAGGGUUGGGUUCUUCUAGGUUUAAUGCAAUUGAGUAAUUAAAUUCCUACGGUCGUACCUAGGGUUGUUAUCUGGUUAGGGAAGCAGUCAAUGGUCGUACCUUGACUGUCGAAAAGGUAAGGAAGAAUUGGUUGUCAGAGCUUAUUGAUAACUAUAACCAAUCUAGUGAUGAAUGGAUGAAAUAUCUUUGCAUCGAUGAGCAUUUAUUCGGACCGUGCCUGAACAGUUGAUCCUUUGGGUAGAACUUUUAUUAAUUGCUAUUUUUAGUAAAUUGUGCUUUGUGAGUUAGUUUUGAGUUUUGUUUCUUUUAUUUUUAUUUUUAUUUUCCUCCCAUAAAAAACCCCCCAUACUCUGAACUCUAGAAGAAACGAAUUAUUCCCAAUCCCUGUGGAUUCGACCCUACUCACCGCUAUAUACAAAAUUUGUAAUUUUCUCGAGUAGGUAUUUAUUAUUGUACAGGUUCGACACCUGUCAAUUUUUGGCGCCGUUGCCGGGGACUGGUGCCUGAUUAAUUUGUUUUUUUUUGAGUUCAUUUUUUUUUCUCUUAUUUUUUUUUUGUAUAUAUUUUAUGGCUGCUAACAUUCCGUAUUUUGGUGAUAGAGUGGAUUUUAAUUUUACAAGGGGUUAUGAGACUCAUGCUUUUUCUAAUGAUCAAUGGGCUGUUGCAAAUUGUGGAGCUUAUUUUGCUUCGAAUUUUUCACCCGACAUAUGCCCUGCAUUUCAAGAUGGUCGAAGUACUCCAAUCGAUACUUUUGGGGAUUUUUCACCUCAAUAUCAAACGUGGUACGACCCUUAUUCAAACGGGUAUGAGCAAGGAUGGUGGGAUGAUUCUACUUUUAAUUAUGAACAAAGGCCAAUAGAUUUUCAACAGCUAGAGCCUCAAGAACCGUCAUCCAUGUCAGGUAUGUCUCUUGAAGAAAUAGUUGAAUUAAUAGCGACUAACACAUAUCAAAUUCAACAGGAGACACAUCAAAUUCAACAGGAGACACAUCAAAUUCAACGGGAGACACGUCAAUUUCAACAGGAGACACAAAGAUUGAUUAAAGAGAUGGAAGAUGGAAGGCGUGAAUUGGCAUCUACAAUGAGCAAAUUGAUUUCUCCAUUUUGUGAAGAAUUGCCCUCAGCGACUAUUAUCGACCAUGAAGAAGAUGAGGGUAUAAUUAUCCUGACAAAUGACAUGGAACUGCAAGAGUCUCAUGAAGAAGGAUCUAAAGAUGCAGUUGAAAAGAAAGUUGAAGUGCAAGACAUGAGACCCCAAUAUCAAAUUGUUCAAAUGAAUGAAUCUAAUGAACAAUCUCCAAAUGCGGUGACAUCUCUUCCAUUCCUUAAUCAAUAUUUUCCUGACUCUUAUUCUUUAAUUCCUGUUAGUGAGAUUGAUUUUAUUAUACCGGACGAUUUUGAAUUUCAUGCCAGGAAUAAGUUAAGAGUCAUGAUGACAAAAUAUCUCGAAGCAAUAAGCGCUCGUGAUGGAGGAGUGACUGAAGAUUUAAGGUCAUCACUUGUUUGUUUGGUGCCAUCUACUAAUCCAUGGAAGACCGUAGCUCGUGGACUCAAGAAUUACUCUAUUUACGAGGGCUAUCAGGACUACAUAGAAGAUGAAGCACUGAAACGAGCUACACGAUUUUAUCCUCCGUGAAUAAACAGGACAAUGUCUAGCCAAAGACAUUAAAGAAAGGCUCUGCUUGGGAGGCAACCCAAGGAAUUUUUUGUUUUAGUUUUCUUAUAUUUUUGAAAUUUUUAUUAAGUGUUAGUGUCAUUUAGUGGAUUGUUGUUUUGUGGCAGGAAGCUGGCAGUUGGACAUGCCCACUCUAGUUGAUCAUGCCUAAGGAAUGAAGCUUUGGAAUUGAUGGUCAGAAGACUUUAGCUUCCAAGGCGUGCCCACGCCUUCCAACCCUUCCGAAAAAGAAACUUCAGUCUUCUCCUUCCUGUUGGUGUUGCGUCCGCCGCAACCACACCACCUUGUGCACGCAGCCGUCUCACCCCCCUCCGCCUUAGUAUCUCAUUUUCACUCCCCGGUGGUCAGGGAAGUUUCUCCUCUUUCCUCCUGAUACUUUAUUUGUCUCUUCUACAUUGAGGACAAUGUAGGUCUUAGGUGUGGGGGGAGUGGAUUCCAUUGGUUCUUUUUCAUUAGUUACUCGAAAAAAAGAGAAAAAAAAAACAUGGGUUGAAAAAAAAAAUAAAAAAUGAAAAACAUUGUAGUUAGUCGGCUUUUUGGUUAUUUCUAUGCUUGUUAGUGUUGGGGCAUGUUGCUGUGAUGAAUGACACAAUCAAAGUGAGUGGUUAUGUGGUCGGAUAUGCUAGCUGUGCAUCUUGCUUCCCUUGGCAAUGUCAUUGAAUGUUGAAUAUGUUGGAAUUGACCCAUUUUUGAAACUUUUGGGAGUUUUUGAGCCUUAUAUGAGCACAUUAUUCUUAUUUGCUCUAUUUUUGUUUGAUUGAGUGGGUAUCACACAUGGUAUCGGCAUUCUAGAACUUGCUAUUUUAUACAUGUCGAGACCACAUUUUGUUGAACUGGAUGCAUUUGAAAUGAUAAGGGCAUUUAGGAUUUGACCUUCUUUAACUUUCUAUAAACCAUGCCUUCAUCUUAUUUCCCAAUAGUGAACCAACUUGAGCUUUUAUCCUUUACUUUUGCUUGUUAGCCGUGUUUGAUAACCCAUGACCUUUUUAGACUUUCUUGUUCAAUCUUGUGUCAUUAAGGGAUGUCUGAAAUUCAUUACUUGUGCAAGGCAAAUAAAUCUAUGGGCGCAAGUGUUGUCAAAAAGAUGUUGUAUGGUGCUGUUUCUGUACAUCUGAGAUCGAAAGAAAAGCCAAGAAAAAAAAUAAAGAAAAAAAGGGGAAAAAUUGGCAAAAAGCUGGUGAGCAGAAGACUCUGUCUUCCAGGACGUGCCCACGCCUUGCUAGACGUCCUCUCCAAAAAAAAAAAAAUGAGGAACGAUUUUCGACACUUGCACAAUGAAAACAACAAAUGAAAACGCCCUACUUGCGAAAUUGCCCCGGUAAAGCAUUGUGGUUAUGUAGUGGAUAUUGGACAUUCUCUUGACACAUUACACCCUAUUUUUACCUUCUUAUCCCGCCUUUUAUCUAAACCCCAUUGCAACCCUAUUAAAGUCCCUUUGAUUUGUGUAUUUAGUUCACUUUUGAGUGGUGGAGAUGUGAUAAAUGUGCAAGCCUAUGGUAAUGCAUUCCGUGAUGUUGAAUUGAGCGUUCCUAGUAUUCAUAUAUAUUCUUUGAAUUACAACAUGUCCGGUGUGUUCCACCUUUGGUGAUAUUGUCAGGGACCCUAGAUGCUUGUGUUAGUUUAGACUACUACAUGACCUCUGCUCUCUUGGUUGUACUUCUGAGCUCCGAAAUGCUUGAGGGCAAGCAUUGUCUAGGUGUGGGGGGAUUUGAUAGAACGGUUAUUUGGCGUAUUUUACACUGUUAUUUUGUCCUAAUUUUGGCUAUUCACGGUGCUAAGAAUUGGAAUUUCACUCAUAUUCGAUAUUUGUGUGAAUUGUAGGUGGUAGGCAUGGAAAAUGAUAUCGCGAGAUAAAUUUCCAGAAGACUUUUCGUCUCAGGGCGUGGCCACGCCUUAGAAGGUGGACGAAACCGAAAGACGGACCAUGGUCCACGUGAACCGCGAGAAGCACAGGAUUAAGACUCCAAAGGCUUCAAUUAAAAAGCAAAGAAAGGGGUCAGACGUGAAAAGGCUCCUGCGGCGGCUAUAUAAAGAAAAGGAAAGCAAGAUUCAAGAUAACUACUUUUAGCCUAGGUUCUCUUUUUCGACUUUUUGGGGGCAAGAUUUGUCAGACGCUGUUGUUUUUCUUUUGUUUUCUUCGGCGGCUCUGGGUCAGACAUUGGGGGACUUCCUCCUUUGCUGUAGCUUUUGCUCCGGGCUUCUGUACAAUUUUUUCUAUUCGACUUUUGCUUCUACUUUCGCUCCAGUGGUACGAACACGAAACCCAACAAAGGGAAGCAAAGGUUUUUCAGCCGUUCCUUCGUUAAUUCAUCUUUUCCAAUUCUUCGGCAAUUAAUUGAAUGAAUUCAAUUAAAUCACGCGGGAUUGACACGAUGAGGAGCGGCUAAUUUUCUCCUCUACCCAAAGGUUGACGCGAGGGCGCGGUCCAUAAUAUCUGUGAGAUCUAAUCGAAUCUUCAUUAUUUCUUCCAAUUUAUUGCUAUUCGUGCGUUUCCUGAAUUAAUUGAUCAUGGGUAUUUUAUUAAUUGAAUAUCAACGGCCGGGUAUUUGAUUUAAUUUAAUAGUCUACUGCCACGUUAAUUAAAUAGAAUCCGUAAUUGUUCAUUUAGUUAACACCUCGUGGCAACCACCAUAAUUGGUUUUAUGAUGGGGAAACGCAAGAUCUAGCUUAAAUAAACCCUCUUAGCGUGUUUAUUGGUUAGGGUUGGGUUCUUCUAGGUUUAAUGCAAUUGGGUAAUUAAAUUCCUACGGUCGUACCUAGGGUUGUUAUCUGGUUAGGGAAGCAGUCAAUGGUCGUACCUUGACUGUCGAAAAGGUAAGGAAGAAUUGGUUGUCAGAGCUUAUUGAUAACUAUAACCAAUCUAGUGAUGAAUGGAUGAAAUAUCUUUGCAUCGAUGAGCAUUUAUUCGGACCGUGCCUGAACAGUUGAUCCUUUGGGUAGAACUUUUAUUAAUUGCUAUUUUUAGUAAAUUGUGCUUUGUGAGUUAGUUUUGAAUUUUGUUUCUUUUAUUUUUAUUUUUAUUUUCCUCCCAUCAAAAACCCCCCAUACUCUGAACUCUAGAAGAAACGAAUUAUUCCCAGUCCCUGUGGAUUCGACCCUACUCACCGCUAUAUACAAAAUUUGUAAUUUUCUCGAGUAGAUAUUUAUUAUUGUACAGGUUCGACACCUGUCAUCCAACAAUUAAUCCACACCAGAUCAGGUAAUAGGGGAAAUUAAUAAUAAAUUAAAUAGUAAAAUUGCAACCUAUCAGCUAGAUUGCAGGAUUAAAACAACUUUGCCAAAAUAUUCCAAUGGUUAAAGCGCACGGAUAUUAGCACCCAAGAUGCUUCCAAGAUACUUUCAAACUUGACAAAGCACCUGAAAUUCCAGAUAUCAAGAUUAGACCUAUUUGUAGCGUACGUUUCCACGAACUCUGGCGUAAAUGGUCACCGAGAAACCAAAAUUGGUCACAAAUGCACAAUUCCAUAAGGUUAGCAAUUUCGGGAAUGGGGCAGCUACAAUUAGCAAUAGGUGCGGUUGUUUUACCUUUUUAAUGAUUUAGUGUACACUUAAAUAAUUUUGAUGUGCAUUUAUCUAACUUUUUAUUGUGCUAGUAAUAGUUCAUGUACUUUGCAUGUAAUUAUAUUAAACUAAAUAUAACAUCUCUUAUAUAUAAUCUUUUUUUUGUGAAAUUUGAUUGUUUACAUGAUAAUAGAAUAUUUUCUAUUUUCUAUUUCUUUAAUCAAUUAUUGUUACAAAGACUAUCUAAAUACGAACUCUUUGAUCCAUUGAUUUUUUUAAUUUAUUUUGAGCUUUUUGGUAAUUUAUGGAUUCAAUUUUGAUAAACAAUUCUUAAUAUGGUUAUGUUGUGUACUCACAAUAUUUUUACCAUUAAAUCACAAUAACAUUUUUUAAUAUUGUACAAAAGAUGUUGUUAAACAGGAAAUGCAUGUAUACAUGUCAAGUGUGAGCCUAGUAAAUAAAAUUCAUAAUUAUUAGCAAAGUAAAGAUUAAAACUGUAAAAUCAAUUUCUGGAAGUGUAUCAGAGUAAAUAAAUUGGCUUGUUAGAUUUUGUCAUUAUAAUUAUUUUCACCAAACUCAUCCCUUCUUUUACCUCUUGAAAAGUUCAUUUACUAGCCAGAAUCUAGAUGCGCCUUUUUUUCACUUAAAAAUAAAACCCAUAGUUAAGUUUCUAAUGAAAUCAACAAAUUUAAAAAAUGAAAAAAAAUUGUAUCAACAUUUUGAAUGCUAUUUGCCAUAACAUUUUGAAUGUUAUUUUUUCCUUGGUAAGACAAACAAAAUGGAAUUGUACAAUUAGAAUGAAUUAAUUAUUUAAGAAUAAAAUAUAUGAGCUGUGCUUAUGCCCAACUUCACAUGAACAUUUAAUUAUUCUACUUUAUAUCUUUUAGCUGAACUUUUCAAUUUUUUCUUUUGUGAAUUUGAAUUGAAUAAUGUGAGGUGCAUUAUUGAAUUUGGAUUGUUUACAUUGAGGUUAAUAAAGAAUGUAAAUGAUUUAUACUGCUUAAUUAUCGUAGACUGUCUAUUUAAUUGCCAAUGGACAUUCAAUUGAUAGAAAUAAUUUGUUCUUUUCUUUUAGUAUUUCUUCAUACUGAUAAAAAAAACCCAUAAUUAUACAUCUGUCUUGUGAUAUUCAUGUCAAGAUUCUCCAAAUGAAUAUGGACUCUUUUCUUCUUAUAUAUUUCUUUUUUGCUCCAAGAGCAUAUUUUUUUUAUACAAAUAUUUUUUACAAUCUUAAAAUUGCGGCUAAUGCAAUCAUUCACACUAUUUCGAAUAAGAAAUUAUUUUGGCUAAGAAACUUUGACACACAUAAGGAUUGGAGAUGAAGUGUAAGGGUCACUAAAUAGUUUUAAUAUGGAUUUUUUCAUUUUAAUUACCAUUAUUAUUGAGAUUUAGUUAUUUGGAAUGUUUCAUAUUUUUAAUUACUACUACAAUUAGAAUGCAAUAAUUCUAAUUGAAAGAUAGAGAUAAUAUGGGCACAAUAAAACUAAGAUCAAAAAGUGCAUGCAACUUACAAUGCCAAGACUUUUUCAUUUUAAUUACCAUUAUUAUUGAGAUUUAGUUAUUUGGAAUGUUUCAUAUUUUUAAUUACUACUACAAUUAGAAUGCAAUAAUUCUAAUUGAAAGAUAGAGAUAAUAUGGGCACAAUAAAACUAAGAUCAAAAAGUGCAUGCAACUUACAAUGCCAAGACUUUUUAAUAUAGUAAAAAAUAGAUGUUAUAAAAUACAUCAAAGUUGUGUGAACGUACAUCAAAUCAUUAAAAAAAGUAAAACAACCGCACUAACCGCACCUAUUGCUAACCAUAGCUACCCCAAACCCUGCAAUUUCAUAGUGACAUCUUAAAUUGAAGCGGACCACUAAGCAAUACAGACCGGAAGAUAUGCACCCAAUGCAACGCAUAUCAACUAUUAGCAAUGUAACAAGGAGAUACUUGGAUUCUUUGCUUAUUAUAGAUGCUAUAAUGCUCCAAACGCUCAAUAGCUUCUUGAUAGAUAGGUCAGUGUGUCUUUUAUAGGUUUCAAGUAAUGUGGUUGCAUUAGGUGCACAAAUCCCGCUUCCCCCACUAUAUCUAUGUGACCUUUUGUUUCACAAAAUAAAAGAGUUAUACGAAUUUAGAGUUGAGUAGCAGCAAUAAAUUGCAUAAUUAUACCUCGGACUACUAGAAGUCACUGAAUUGGUCCCUUGUGGGCUCAUUGAAAUGUCAAUCCAUGGCCCGCUAUUCAACAUCUUGUGGAAUGAUCCAUUGAGACGAAAAUGCCCAGACGACAUCGUUCCAAACGAAGGUAGAAAUCAUUUUUGACAUUCCAACUAGUUUCGCAAUACUUACCAAAAUUUUUUUUUUUCAAUAACCAGGCAAUCAGCAAAUUAAAAAGGAUAAUUUCAGAAACCUGACAAUUUCACUCAGUGCCCUCAAACUUUAAAAAAUCUCAUUUGGCUCUCUUGUUUUAAACUUUUUGUAACAUUUGAAAUCCAUUUCAAAAUAUAAUAUUAAAAAACUCAUUUUGAGAGAGAGAGAGAGUACAAUUUCAUUCCAAAUUUGUCCUUUCUUGCGAUUUUUUAAUUGUCAUAACACACCAAAUUUGUUGCUUAUUUUUUGUAAAUUGAUUGAUGUAGUUCUUUAAUGAAAAUCUAAGAGUUGGUAACAAGAUCAAAAAAACUCUUUAAUAAUUUUUGUGUCAUUUGUUUGGACAAAAAAUGUUAAAUUACUUAAAAUUAUGAAUCAUUUACACUACUCUUAAAAAUAACUUGCAAUAAUUCAUAACCAUGAGAAUACCUUUUGCAUUAACUUAAAAAUAAUACAAACAAUUAUAUAUAUAAAUUUUAGCAUGUUGUAUCUUUUUAGUCGUCAAACCAUCGAUUUGGACGUCUAAAUUAAAAAAAUAAAAAAAUGUGUAAAUGAUUUAUAAAUUAGCUCAAAACACAUAUAUUUGAAGUAGAGAAAACGUCAACAUUUGCAUUUGGAUUGCGAUUUUCUUAAAAAAAUUUCGUUACUUGUUUCUCUUUGUCCAUGAUACUAAUUGAUAAAUGCUUCACACUUUUCCAGUCUCAGCUCUGUUAGUUAAUCCAAAUGAGUUUUAGAACGAUCUCAAAAUAAAUUGAUCAAUUUGAGUGGGAUCAAAACGUGUGGGGUAAGGUUUUUUUUUUUUUUUUUUUACAUAAUUAUUCAGAUAAAACCAACCCAGGCAGACCCAAUUAUCUUUGUAACUUACAAAAAACUUUGAUCAACUUUCAAAUAUAUUAUACACUCUUGACAUUUUAAAAAAGGGAUAAUUUCACAAAUCUCCCCUAAGGUUUUUAAAAAUUAUAGAGAGCUCCCUGUAGGUUUUAAAAAUUACAUAUACCUCCCUUAUUUUUACUUUUUAGUAACAAUAUAGGUCCAACAAUAUAGUUUUUCUCACAAAAUUCCUAAAUUGCCCUUUAAACUAAGAAAAAUAUAGUAUACUCAAUUAUUUUCUUCAACACUUUGCACAAAUCAAUAAACCUAAUUUUUAGCAAUAAUUCAAGUAUAAGUUUUAAAACUAAAUAGCAGUCCAAAGGAUCCCAAAUUACAUGUAUAGUAUCAAUAGUUGCUACCUAAAAAAAACACACACACACACAAACCCCGUUGACAACCAAUUUUAUAUCCCAAAAUUAAAUAUCAAUGCUCAAAUACAUUUUCAAUACAAAUUAUUCUCACUUAAAACUGCUAUUACAAUCCUUCUAUGGUCUUAAAAAUAUUAAUACCUCAAAUAUAGAAAAUAAAUUCUACCUCCACCAUAAAAUCAUAAUAAAAGAUUUCUAAUCAAAUGAAAUAAAUCCUUAUGUAAUUAUUGACAUUUUAUAAAUUUUUUUUUAAAAAUAAAUAAAAUAUGCUAAAUUCAACAUCUUUAGUUCUUUUUCCUAUUUCAAUUAUCAAUUUCAUUAUUUAUUUCUCUAUCACUAUGACUCUCUUUAUUUUCUUCUAAUUUGACACAUAAUCUACUCCUUCUGUUGAUUUUAUAAUUUUAAUUUGCUAAUAUCCACAAAAUUGAAGAUAAUAAAAAGAAGUUGUAUUAACUAAAAAAGAGAUGAGUGAAAAUAGACAAGAGACAGAAAAAUAAAUUUUUUUGAGUUUUGUAAAUUUAUUGCCUUAAAUUUAAAAUUUUCAACCAAGUAGAGGGCAUUAUAGGUAUUUUACUAUACCAAGAGAGGUAAGUGUAAUUAUCCAUAAAAACAUAACAUGAGCAAUUGAAAGAGGGAGUAGAAGUUUCAAUAAUUCAAUGAUUAUUAUCUAUUUCAAAAGAUAAAAGUUCAAUUAAUUUGAGAUCACAAGCUUGAUUAUUGAGACGCUAAGGAGAUUAUCAUUGUGCGUCUCUAUUUUGAAUCAAGAAGCGAAAUAGCUAAUCUUAAAAGAAGAGGUGUGUUUCUGUUGAGUGAUGAUAAAAUAAACUCAAGUGGGCAAAGUGCAACUUAUCCCUAAUUACAUUGGAGAUUAUUGCUAACUGACCCUUUGCUUUAUUUCAAUUUGAUUGCGAGGAGACAAAAGCAAUUUCUUAUUGCUCUUGGGUGGAUAGUAUGAGCGUAUUGAGAUAAUAGAUUAUUUGAAAUACUUUUUUGAAAAAGAGCACAAUGAUAUUCUUCUAAAUAUAAUAUAUAUAACAUAAAAAGAUAAUUAAAAAAUAUAUUUUUUAAUUAUCUUGAAGUUCAUUAGCAACACAUAAUUAAAAAAUAUGUUGAUAAUAUAAUUAAUAUAUUAUUUGUGACGUGUGUGAGAUAUAUCAGUGCCCACGCAGACAUUCAACCAGAGAACAUGAAGGCCCCGCAACAAAGGCAAUUAAAGUGAAAAUGCCAACCUGUCACCUGCACCUCAAAAGUAGUUUGGGGAAAUUUUAUCCUUUUGGGUCCCACAUAUUUUGUCACAAUCUUGUGAUUAUCAUUCAAAAACGCAUGCCCACCUGAAAAUAAACGCAGGGUCCUGAAAUGGGGCAAAACUUUUGGAACGAAGGGAGUAUUUUAAUUGAGUCAAGUCCAUUUUACUAACUAUGUUUAAUUGGUGUGUAUUUAUAUCAUUAGCAGUUAGCAAUUGUUCUUUUGUACAAAAUAUUCCCUCUAGUGAUUAAUCUACGGGGUGAUGAGUUAGACGUUAGGCCAGUAAGAAUUGUUCUUUUGUACAAAAUUUGAAACUUGAAUUUAGUGUCAAAUAUUGAUUAAUGUGAAAAUAAGAUGGAAAAAAAAGAGAUUAAAAGUAAAUUUGAGUUUAAUAAAAUAAUAAAUAUUUUAAGUCAUUUUAAAAUAAAAAAGUAAAUCGAGAAGGAGGAAAAAAUAAACGAAUAAAAGAGAAACUAGAAGAUGAUGAGUUAGACGUUAAUUAAGCCAGUAAGAAACAGUGACGAGUUAGACCUGCUUUAUUGCACCGUGAUAAGAAGGAAUCAGAGUGCCUUCUUUAUGUCUUAGCUGCAAGUUGAAGGUUGGCUAUAUGCUGCAGAUGCGACAAUUUGUCGGCAAGAAGCUGUGGCUACGAAUUGUCGGCAACUUCCAGGAAGUCACGGUAAAGCGGUAAAAGAAAAGUUCGUUGGUGGCGUCUUUGGAGUGUAGCUUUGCAGAGUGAAGCCGGGGGGCAAAUUGCAAAAAGUGGAAACAUUUGGAAGUGCAAAAAGUUGUGUGGAAAAAUUUUCAGUCCCGCAAGUUUUAGCCUCCACAGAUUUUGCUGCCCUUAGUUGCCAAAGUUGAACCAUAUCCUUCCUUGACUCAUCGCAGAAAGCAUUCCCCCAUCACCAUUGCAGAACACCUUCAUCCUAAUUCCAAUCCCAAGCGAGAAAAAAUGGCUGAUGCUGCUGUUAGUGCUACUAUUCAGGUUGCAUUGCAGGCGGUUGUUUCCCUUGCCGGUGAUCAUGUUAAUCUGGUUCGUGAAUUCCCAACGGAGCUGGAGAGACUCAACAAAUCUGCUGAAAUGAUUCGAGGCUUCUUGGCUGGUGCCGACGAGCAAAUGCAUAGCCCAGUGGUGCAAAAUUGGCUCAAGCAGCUGGAAGAAGAGGUUUUCAAAGCUGACAAUGUGCUGGACGAGCUCAACUAUGAAAAUCUUCGUCGGAAGGUGAAGUAUCAAAAUCAACUCACGAAAAAGAAGGUAUUCUUCUGCUUUUCAUUCUUUAAUAAAAUUGGUUUUCGUUGGAGGUUGGGUUCAAUGAUCAGGGAGAUCAACGCGAACCUUCAAAGGAUCCAUCAGGAUGCCGAAGGUUUGGGACUGGCCUACAAGCACCAAGUUGAAGAAGCAUUCCCUACUAUUGCUGCUGGAUCCACAACAAG
This 67506-nucleotide long non-coding RNA is filed under the name Coffea arabica (coffee). RNAcentral's name for it is "long non-coding RNA (CARA_LNC000450)". The record is from RNAcentral. Lineage: Eukaryota; Viridiplantae; Streptophyta; Magnoliopsida; Gentianales; Rubiaceae.